This 46266-nucleotide long non-coding RNA is filed under the name Ananas comosus (pineapple). RNAcentral's name for it is "long non-coding RNA (ACOM_LNC028087)". The record is from RNAcentral. Lineage: Eukaryota; Viridiplantae; Streptophyta; Magnoliopsida; Poales; Bromeliaceae.
CGCUUUCAUGUUUUGUAGUGACGAUGCCGAUUACACGCUCUCAAUCUGCCGGAGCGGACAAUACGGCGAACUUUGAGGAGGUCGAGACCUCCGCUACCUCCGGAUCCAGCGAGGUUCGUGAGUUGAGGGGCCAGCUUGCGGCCCUCACUGAUUUAGUCACUCAGCAGGCGGAGGCGGCCCGACAGCAGACUUAGGCGGCGCGCCGACAGGAGGCGCGGAUGAAGCACCUGGAGGACCUUUUACUGUAGCAGGCAGCAGCCUCUAGGGAGACUCAGGACCCUACACCGCCAGCACCAGUUGUGGACGUCGCACCGAGAGCGCCGUCCCCCGCGCCGAGUUCUUCGCGUGCGGCGCCUGUGGCCGCACCCCAGGAGGAGGUUUUGGUGGCACCACCUGUGCAGAGGCCCCCGGUUGGAGCUACAUUCCCUACCUUGGUUGAGGGGGCGGAGCGAGACAGACUGAUAGAGCGCCUCAAUAAGUUCAGGCGGUGCAGUCCUCGAGUCUUCGACGGCAAGAAGGUCGACCACUGGAUUGUGGAGAAGUGGUUGAUGCAUAUGGAGAAGCUCUUCCGCGACACCUUCAUGGAGGAGAGGGAUCGAGUUUGGCUCGCCACUCACCACUUGGACGACGAGGCCUACCGCUGGUGGUUGGAUCUCCAGGAGCACCCCAGCACUGACUUGGCGGCUAUCACUUGGACGAGGUUCAAGGAGCUUCUUUUGGCCCAUUACUUUCCGACUAGCGUCAUGCGAAAGAUGGAAACCUACGCAACUUGCGCCAAGGCGACCGGACUGUGGCCGAGUACGAGCGGGAGUUUUCUCGUCUUUUGCAUUACGUGCCUUUCGUCGUGCGGGACGACGAGCACAAGGCACGCAUUUUCAAACGAGGAUUGAGACCGUCCAUCUUUCGGUUCGUGCAAUCCUCUAACCUCCAAACCUACCAGGAGGUAGUGGAUCGCGCGCUCAUUGUGGAGAGCGGCGCGACAGAUGUCCAGGAGCAGCGAGAGGCUAGGGACAAGGGUAAGGCCAAGAGGCCUGCGGCAGAGGGUGCGAGCCAGACGCACUCUAGGAGGCCGCCGAAACAUCCGAGGAGUCAGCAGUGUGGACGCGGCUCAGCAGCCUAUCGAGGAGGAUCCGAUCGGCACCGGCCUUCCCCGUGUGUGAUCUGCGGUGGUCCCCAUUUCCGACCGCCGUGUCGACAGCGGGCGGGCAGGUGUUUCCAGUGUGGCCAGGAGGGCCACGUUCGUACUGAGUGCCCGAGAGGUUCUUCACCGGCACCGUCGACUGCAUCGGCACAGGCCCUACCAGCCGCCAGCCAGGGGACUCCAUUGGCGCAGUACCAGUCUGGGCGGCCACUCAUCCAGCGCCAGAGCGAGGGAUCCCGACAGGCCCUGAGUGGGCGCAUGUAUGCCGCUCAGACCGAGGAGGCGGCAGCAGCCAAGGAUGUGGUUGCAGGUAUCAUUUUACUUGAUGGCAUUAGAGUACGUGCUUUAUUUGAUACCGGUGCAUCGUAUUCAUUUAUAGAUCGGCUGUUUGCCGAGUUGCAUGGCAUCCCAUUGGUUUCUUUGUUGCAUCCGGGACACGUUGUUGUACCCAAUCACAUUUUGGAUAUUAGAGAGUACAGCCCCAGUUGCCCUGUUCGGAUAGGAGAUUGGAUCAUGCCGGUAGAUUUGCUAGCUUUGCGCAAGCUUGGGGAUUUUGAUGUAGUCUUGGGAAUGGAUUGGUUAACCAAAUAUUAUGCCACGAUUGAUUGCAAGAAUCGCACGGUUACUUUUAGAGAACCGGGGCAGACCGAGGUGAUAUUUAGUGGAUGCUGGAGUUCGCUGUUUGCGAUGACGAUCAGCUCGUCUCGAGCUAGGCAGGUGAUCAGCAGAGGUUGUGUAGCCUAUUUGGCUAGUGUUGUGCUGAGGGGCGAGGAUGACACCCCUAGGAUCGAGGAUAUUCCGGUGGUGCGGGAGUUCCAGGAUGUGUUUCCAGCUGAGCUACCGGGCAUGCCUCCUGAUAGGGAGAUUGAGUUUGUGGUAGAUCUCGUCCCUGGGACUACCCCAAUCUCAAAGGCACCCUAUAGGAUGGCACCGGCAGAGCUGAGGGAGCUGAGGGCACAGCUGUAGGAUUUGUUGGACAAAGGCUUCAUACGGCCGAGCGUUUCACCUUGCGGAGCACCCGUUUUGUUCGUCAAGAGGAAGGACGGAUCACUUCGCCUUUGCGUGGACUAUCGUGAACUUAAUAAGGUCACGAUUAAGAACAAGUAUCCGUUGCCGAGGAUCGACGACUUGUUUGAUCAGCUUCAGGGAUCGUGUGUGUAUUUCAAGAUAGACUUGCUGUCACAGCCCGCGAGCCCCGCCUAUUUGGUCGAGGUCGCGGCGCCGACAGCGCCGAACGGACCGGGGAUUCCCCUGUACCGCGGACAGAGUCUCCCCUGUACGUUCAAGGCAUCGCAAUCAAUACAAUUACAACAGGUUCCAAACAGGAACAGUAUUCAACAUACAACGAUUGCAUAAGGAAGGUAUCAAACAACAUAAACACAUCCUAAGUUAUUACAAGCAUUCACAUUCAUACUUUUUACAUCCCAAUUACUAUUCCUUUACAUCCCAAUGCAAUCUAAGUUAUUACAUCAUUUACUCAUUACAAUUUGAUACAUUGUGUUCUUUCUAUUUUCUAUACCCCUAAGCUAUGUCGACGGGGUACUACUAGCUCUGGUCUCUGUGGUAGGGUGCUAACUACGGAGCUACGCCCUCGCCUCGCGCCAUCGCGCCGCACUCGUGCAAACCUGUAACACCCCAAAAGCAACGUGGGGUGAGAACUAACUCCAUAGUUCCCAGUGGGUACGGCCACCCAAGGAAAAAGCUCGACCGACAUGUCCGAAGGAGGCAAGCUACAGGUUAGUUCAAUAAACAGAUAGAUAUGAUAAUAAGAUCAUGCAACUAACAAUGCCAUGCAUUGCCUCGCGAUAUGCAAUCUGAAGAUCAUGCAAUAAUGCAACUAUACAACCAACUAGUAAUUCAAUCGAUUACUACUUUCAUCCAAUUGACAUUUAAGGUUUUCUGUCAUGUACCAUUUUAAUCAUAAGGUUUCAUCUACCUUUACAAAGCUAGCCGCCCGACUCGGUCUUGAGUCAAUCAUCUGCGGAGUACCGCACAAAGCCAGGCACGAGGCGAAGGACAUCUCACUUGCACCUCGGCCUUAAAUCCCCUCAAGUAGGACAAUCACUAUAGGUCAUAAGCUUGUUACCCAAUCACUUGGCUAACCCGAAGGGGGUCGCCCUCAAUCUCACAUCUCAAAGUCUCAUAGGGGAGAAGUCUCACUGAACUGUCCCCCGAGACCGCCUGCGGACAGCACACAGACCGUCCAGACAGCACACUGACUGUUCCCCUAGUGACCAACCUCCGGAGUGCACAGCUUGUGGGGAGCGACCCCUCCAAGCGCAGACAGGCUAUGUGAGCACGAUCAACUCACGAACAGCAGCAACCUACCCUCUAAGGGUAAUCUCAUCAUGGAAUCAAGGUAUAAUUGUACCCAAUCUCAUAGUGUCUCAACUACACUAAUGUUCUCAUAUCAAGGUCAUCAACAAUCAUAUGCCAUUCAUCAUAGUUUUCUAACUAGAUGCCACUCGUCAUUUAGACUCAUCAUCAACACUAGUUACAUCAUACUAGUUCUUUAGCAACAUAAGCAUCAACCAUCACAUAUAGGGUCUAGGUUCUUAUCCACAUUUAUCAUCCCAUUGUAGGAAACCAAACAUAUCAUUAUAUUAAUACUACAUUGUAUUCCUAAUGUCAAGUUUUCUAAUCAUCCAAGAGUUUUAGACCCAAGUCAACAUGCAUAUGCUAAUUAGCAUAUGUUACUCAACAUAGUCCACAAAUACAUUAACAUGCUUAUGUUCCAACUUGCAUAAUAUAACCUAUGCAUUCAUACAACAUCAUUUUCAUGCAUCUCUCUAACAUUUAGUUCAUGCAUCUCUCUAACAUUUAGUUCAUGCUUUCAUCUAACAUUCAACAUAUUAAUUGCCAUUGUCCACUAGCAUGCAUUAUAUUCAUAUGCAAUUAUCAUGUAAUAUACAUUUCUCACAUUAUAUGCAUUUACCCAAUCUUCACAUCAUAUGCAUCAUAUAGCAUUUAACCCAUUAUAUGCAUCAACUAGGAAAUCAUAUUUUUUUCUUCGACAUGAGGGCGACCUAGUCGCUUCGGUAAGCACAACCCCCCUGUUAGCGCAUUCCGAUUGCUUGUCGACACUUGCAAUCGGCCUCCCGCGGCAUCCGGUGCCCGGUUUGGCGUGAUCUCUCGCGCGAUCACCCGAACAGCCUCCAAUUCACAAUCCGAAAAUUAAAGGUCUUCGGUUAUGUGCCACGAUGCUUCAAAUCCGUUUUCAUGAGUAUACGACGUCGCCUCGGCCCUCCAGGCGAAAAUGAAGCCUAAACGUCCGUUUCUUUAAUAACUUUGUAACGGCUCGUCGGAUUGCCGAACCGUCUUCGCCAACGCGUUUCGUUACCUAGCAAUUAGGUUUACGGAGGGUCAAAUUAGAUCAAACCCUCAUAUUUUAAAAAUUAGCAUUUUGAACCCUAGGUUUACAACUAGAUAAAAAUCCACCAAAUUUCUUCGUGAAUCAAGCAUCAUUCAUCUAGUUAGCGUGCUAGGAUUCCUCUAAAUCCAUUUGUAAGGUAUUUAGACCAACCAUUAAGGAUCUACCAUUAAAGGGGUUUGAAGCUUACCUCUCAAGCAAGCUCCAAUGGAGAGGAAGAACAUGAAGGAGAUGAAGAUCCAUUUCCAAGCUUGCUUCUCCACCAAUUUCAUCAAUUUUGGGAGAGAAUUAGAGAGAGAAAAGGGAGGUUUUGUCUCUCCCAUUCCAUGUAUGCGUGUGUGUGCGUGAUGCGUGUGUGUGUGUGUUGCAUUCGGCUGAGGAGGAAGGAGGAGAAAAGGGAUUUAAUCCCAUUUUGCAAGUUAGCCCCUCAACUAUUCAACCUUCCAAUUUAGUCNUUUUUCUUCGACAUGAGGGCGACCUAGUCGCUUCGGUAAGCACAACCCACCUGUUAGUGCAUUCCGAUUUCUUGUCGACACUUGCAAUCGGCCUCCCGCGGCAUCCGGUGCCCGGUUUGGCGUGAUCUCUCGCGCGAUCACCCGAACAGCCUCCAAUUCACAAUCCGAAAAUUAAAGGUCUUCGGUUAUGUGCCACGAUGCUUCAAAUCCGUUUUCAUGAGUAUACGACGUCGCCUCGGCCCUCCAGGCGAAAAUGAAGCCUAAACGUCCGUUUCUUUAAUAACUUUGUAACGGCUCGUCGGAUUGCCGAACCGUCUUCGCCAACGCGUUUCGUUACCUAGCAAUUAGGUUUACGGAGGGUCAAAUUAGAUCAAACCCUCAUAUUUUCAAAAUUAACAUUUUUGAGCCCUAACAUGAAAUAACCUCCAAAUAAUCCAAAUUAAAUGGAGCAAUAUGCUAAUAAUGAUCAUUAGAGACUACUAGAACUCUUAAAGCUAAGGAUUAAGCCAAAUCCCAAAAGCUUACCCCAAUGUGAACGCCGCAACGAAAACACGCCGCUCCAACGGGCGCACGAAAGCUCGAUCCGUCGCCUCCAACGCGUUCGCAAGCUCGAUCUCCACCAACCCUCCAAUUUUUAGAGAGAGAUAUAGAGAGAUGAGAGAGAUAUUUAGAGAGAGAAAGGAGGGUUUCUCUCCCCCUUCCAUGCGUGCGUGUGUGUGUCCAUGGUGGCGGUGGUCGGUUGAAGGAGAAGAAGCUGAUGCUUCUAAUUAAAGUCAACACCAACAUUAUUCACUCCAAGCAACUUAAAAUCUGAUAUCUUUCACCGGAGCUCCCUGAAUGUCCGUUUGAGCUCAAACUUGACAGUCAUGUUCGGUUUUACGUACUGAGUAAGAAUAUAUUUUAAGUUUUCAGUUUCGACCCCGUUUGGUUACCGAAAACUGUACCGAACUGUAAUCUUUAUCAGAUAACUGUCGGAUUUUAUUUCUCACUCUACGGGCGUCAGAAAAAUAUGAAACUUUAAAUCUAGCCUCAUUAAAAUAUUACUGACAUCCCCGCCAAUUUUCAUAAUUUUCUGAGACUGUGCAUUUUCUACUAAUUUAUCUGUCCCGUUUCUCACAGAAAAUUUUAAAUUUUUUAUUUUCGCUCCGAUUUCAGCACAAAUCAUUUCUGAUUUAUGUUUUACUCCUCUAAAUCCAAUAAAAAUAGUAUCUCACACUAUUUUUAUUUAUUUUUUAUUUUUAUAUUUAAAAUCCGGUAUGUUACAUUACACCGUAACUUCACCGGAACCAUUUAAAUGUACACCGUAACUUCAUAGCUUUAGAAGUCCGGUACCAUACACUUGCAGUCGGGAUAACACCAAUUGAAGAUCAAACCCGAUGAUGUUUCGAAGACGGCUUUUAGAACACGGUAUGGACACUAUGAGUUCAUUGUCAUGCCGUUUGGGCUUACUAAUGCCCCGGUAGCUUUUAUGGAUCUAAUGAACCGUGUUUUUAAGCCUUAUCUAGACAGGUUCGUCGUGGUAUUCAUCGACGACAUUUUGGUAUAUUCCCGAAGUGAUGCAGAUCACGAGGAGCAUUUGAGUUUUGUACUCCAAGUACUUCGGGAAAAGGAGCUUUUUGCCAAGCCGAAAAAGUAUGAAUUUUGGCUUCGAGAGGUAGCCUUCCUUGGACAUUUGAUAUCGGGAUCAGGUAUUGCGGUGGAUCCCAAGAAGAUUGAGGCUAUCCAGGAUUGGCCGAGACCGACGAGCGUCACGGAGAUUCGGAGUUUCCGUGGACUGGCCGGCUACUACCGGAGAUUUGUCGAGGGGUUUGUUAAGUUAUCUACUCCCCUCGCGAGGCUCACGCAUAAAGGAGUCAAGUUCAUUUGGAAUGAUGCAUGUGAGAGAAGCUUCCAAGAGUUGAAACAACGAUUGACUACCGCCCCGAUCCUGACCCUACCAGUAACUGGAGCAGGGUAUGUGGUAUAUAGUGAUGCUUCACUUAAUGGUUUGGGCUGUGUGUUGAUGCAGAAUGGUAAGGUGAUCGCGUAUGCUUCUCGCCAACUGAAGGAAUAUGAAAGGAACUACCCAACGCAUGAUUUGGAGCUGGCCGCCGUAGUGUUCGCAUUGAAGCUAUGGCGCCACUAUCUUUAUGGCGAGCGGUGUGAAGUAUACACGGAUCACAAGAGCUUAAAGUACCUGUUUACUCAGAAGGAGUUGAACUUGAGGCAGCGCAGAUGGUUGGAGCUACUCAAGAAUUAUGAUCUGACGAUCCUUUACCACCCGGGCAAGGCUAACGUGGUAGCGGAUGCGCUAAGUAGGAAAUCGAUGAAAAACUUAGCGAUGCAUGUUGUGACUCAACCGCAGUUGAUCGAGCAGAUGAAGCGGUUGGAGUUGGAGAUAGUGACUCCUGACACACCCUUGAGGUUGAUGACCUUGGUAGUGCAACCUACUCUUUUGGAUAAAAUCAAAGAGAAGCAAGUUUCCGAUUUGGAAUUGCGAAAGAUUCGAGGUAAAAUGGUUGAUGGUUGCACCGGCGAGUUCCUAGUGGACGACCGAGGGUUGAUGCAUUUUCGCGGACGGACUUGUGUAUCGGCGGAUUCAGGAAUUAAAGAGGAUAUUCUUCAAGAAGCGCACCGAACGCCGUAUGCUAUACAUCCGGGAGGCACCAAGAUGUACAAGGAUUUAAAGUUGCUAUAUUGGUGGCUCGGGAUGAAAAAGGACGUUGGUGAGUUUGUUGCUAGAUGUUUAACUUGCCAACAAGUAAAGGCUGAGCACCGAGUUUUCGCGGGAAAACUUCAGAGUUUACCUAUUCCCGUAUGGAAAUGGGAGAAGAUCACCAUGGACUUUGUGACAGGAUUGCCACGCUCACAGGCUGGGUAUGAUGCUAUUUGGGUGAUUGUGGAUAGGUUGACGAAAUCGGCGCACUUCAUACCUAUUCAUACGACUUGGACCGGAGAGAAGCUCGCACAAGUGUACCUUGAUGAGAUCGUGCGGCUUCAUGGAGUGCCUACAUCGAUUGUUUCAGAUCGAGACAACCGCUUUGUGUCUCACUUUUAGAGGAGUCUGCAAGACGCCUUAGGCACCCGAUUAGAUUUCAGUACAGCAUUCCACCCGCAGAGUGAUGGACAGUCGGAACGCACUAUACAGACCUUAGAGGAUAUGCUCCGGGCAUGUGUGAUAGAUUUCCAGGGAGGAUGGUCACAGCAUCUACCUAUGGCGGAGUUUGCUUAUAACAACAGUUAUCAAGCAAGCAUCAAGAUGGCACCUGUAAGAAAGUAAAUUCUCGAGAUCCGAGGAUUGUACUUCAUCCAGGAUCGACUAAUUGUCGAGAGAAUAUCCUUUGUGAGAGUUGAAAAUGUCCAAAACACAAAAAGUGCUUUGGAGUUGAGUCCGCGAGAGCAAAUGAGGCAAACUGCAUCAUUGGGCUGAUGUUGCUCUCGGGGACCAGUCUCUGGAGGUGAGAGACCGGUUCCCUUGGCUGGGUGUUGCGGGGUUGCAUGAUGCAACCGGUACCUGGUAGGGAGGGACCGGUUGCCGAACGUUGCCCCUGCGAGAAAUACCAAAAAUUGGCUAAGUCCUGAAAAUUUAGCUCUCGGGGACCGGUCUCUCAGGUGAGGACCGGUCUCCCGAGGACCGGUCUCCCGGGGAGAGACCGGUUCCCGAACGCAUACGCCCAAGGGAAGCUCUCGGGGGACCGGUCCCAAGUUGGGGAGACCGGUCCCUCCGCGCGAAAACUGCCCAGUAAGGGCAGUGCACAGGAGCGAAAGUUGAGGGGCUUUCAUGCAAAAUAGCUUUUAUUUGAGUGGGUUGAGCCCUCUCUCUCCCUCACACUCUCAUUUUCUCCCUCUCAUUCUCUCUCAUUGCUCUCUCUCUCUCUAGAAAGGAAAGGAGAAGGAGAAGAACAAGAAGGAGAGGAAGGAAAAAAAGGAGAAGGAAAGGAAGGAGAAGAAAAAGGAGAUCAAGGAGAAGGCUUUGGGCAACUUCAUCUCCCUCUCCUCUUCUCUUUGGUGUAGCACAAGAGGUAGGCUCUUGAACCCUAGCUUCUAAACCUUGGAGUUUUGGGUUUUGAUGCCUAGGAAUGGGUCAAAUGGACCCUAAGCAAGCUUCUAAAUAGAUCAAUCCUAAGAAAUUUAGGGAUUUAUUGGAUGGUUUGCUAUAGGGGCAAACCUAGGGCUCCAAAAUGGGGUUUUUUUUUGUGAAAGUAUGAGAUUGAUCUCAUUUGAAGCCUUGGAAACCCUGUUGUUAGGUCACAAAACGCGGGGGCGAAGUCGAUUUCACGAUUCGGCUAGUGGAUUGGGAGCUAUCGGCGAAAUACGGCCGAUUUAGCCUUGUUUUGGACCAAGAAGGCCGAGACCUCGUCGUAAGGUCCGCCGAGGAGCGUUUCUAAAGCCUCUACAUCGAUAAAAGGUGGGGGGUGCCAUCCCGAAGCUUUCGAACUCCUUUCUAUGUCUUAGAUUGCAUUUAAUCUCAUCUCUUCAGGUUGCAUUGUAGGAUUGCAUAGUAGCUCCAUUCCUUAUGCUUUCUAAAUAAUAACCUAGUCUACUUGGAACGCUUGGUAACUUAGAUAGGUGAGGAUUGGGUCGGAACGUAGAUCCUAUGAUGCGAAAGAAAAGAGAUGUACCCGAUGGGGGUGUUGAUGACAUAGAAAGUGGUGUCAAUGUCAAAGGACAAACGAGUGGCAUCCAAAUGUUAAAUGAUGACGAGUGGCAUUAAUGUAGUGUAAAUAACACUAGAGGUCGAUGGACCUAGGGAUAGGCGGAUCUUAGAAAAUUGCUUGUACAAUGAAUUAUAGGACAAGCUAUUGUGCAAUUACAUGAUAUCGGAACAAGUGAUUCCCGGCGAGAGGAUGUUGAUCAUAGUUAGAGCCUAUUCCUCACUUAGAUGCGGAUGUGAUUGCGGUUGUGGACCCAGGUAUGUGCUUCCUCCUUGGAGAGGCUUUGGAUUUGGUACUUGAUCCUAGAUGUAGGGCAAUCUCAUAAUUGAUGAGGAUAGAUCUAGCUCACAGUCUGGCGUUUGGGGAUGGUUAUAGCCAUCCAAUCCACAAUGGAGGCGGUUAAUUAUCUUCGCAGGUACUCCGGUAGUAGUGUCGUGCGACUAGGCGACUUUGGAGUCUGGACCACCAUGGAGGUCGCAGACGGUCCGGGCUUGGCUGCACUUGGGAGUCCUCUUCCCACUUGGAUGAAAGUGUGAAGUCAUGCGUGAACCUUACAAGGCUCGCCACAGAUUCGGUAAAUGGAAAGGUUAAGGUUUAUUAUAUCAUAUAAAACAUUGCUAUUCGACAUAGAUCGAAUUGUUAGCUAUGAUAGCCAAACUUCGAUUGUUUGUCAGCCCAGGGAACUGCCAAUUUGAAGCCGACCGAAGACGUCAACAGACGACGAACGGACAGAGAGUUUUCUUCCAUAUACGACCAGGUUCAUCACAUGUACAUUUUCAACAAUAGAGAAAAGCAUAGCGGAAAUACACAACAGGCUUAAAGAAGGUAUAGCAAUAGCCAUUAGUGAAUAGAAAAGGAAAGCUAAACAUUCCAAGUAACUAUGAUUUCAUUUUAGAUCAUUAACAUUGCACAUUCAUUGUUAAUUUUAUCGAAUUAAAUUCAUUACAUUCAUUUCAUCAUUUCUUUUUACAUCACAUUUUACCUCAAAAUAGUUUAAUUCUUCUUUACAUCAUAAUCAUCAAAUACAAAAGAUGGAUAUAUAAGGUACUUUACUACAAAAUGAACACAUUGGUGACUCUGACUAAGGGCAGAUAACUUACUCGGAUCGACUCGCCGGCUCGCUCAGGUCCCGGCUCUGUGUGGAAUAGUGAAGGCUAGGAAACUACAACAAAGUUCCAGUGGGUUCUGGACCCAAACAUCACGACUUUACCCCGUAGGACUAACUCAGGCAUAAUAGAAAGGAUAAGUAGGAAUUAUAGUUAACCAUAUCUAUAAAUGAUGUUAAUAUAUGCCCUGAACAAUAGCAGAAAUAUGCUCAGCUUAAAAUAAUGCCAGAGUUAUGCAAAUUCUUUUCGUUCUUUAUCUUUACGAUUUGUUCUUUGUUUAUUAUAUACUUUGUCUUAUGUUCUUUGUUCUUUGUUCUUGUUCUUUAAUUCAAGGCUAAUCAGGGUCGGGUGAUCGCCACAUUGACUUGCUUCACAUUAAGUCCAUCAUCGCAGGAACUCACCCGCUAGGACCGUCCUUACGGGUCUACUCCAACCCGGAUGCAUAACUCCGGAGCGCAUCGCCCGAGGGGGAGCGACCGCCCUCGAGCACGGAACUCAUAGCAAGCAUGAUCGAAAUCCUUAACUCAAAGGAUUGUAUGUUCAAUCUUGACUUUACACUAACUCUAGUGUUCAUUACAUCACUUUAUGUUGCCACUCUAGCAAUCAUUGCUCUUUGCAUUUCCCUUACUUUUGCUAACUCUAGCAAUCACAUUCUUUAUGUCACGCCCCGGGCCUGAUGCCAAUUGGGCCCGACCCGAGCACGUCAAACAGACGCCGAACGGACAGAGUUUCCCUAUCCGCCCAAGGCUCAUCACAUGUACAUUUUCAAUAAGAAGUGCGCUAGCGGAAACAUACACAAACGGCUUACACGAGGGUAAGCAAUAGCCAUUAGUGCAAGAAAAAGGAAACUAAACAUUCACAAGUAAUAUGAUUCAUUUUAGAUCAUAUACAUUGCAUUCAUCUAGUAAUUUAUCGAAUUCUUACAUUCAUUACAUCAUUUCAUUAUUUCUUUCUUACAUCACAUUUACCCCAAUAUAAGCUUUACAUUCAUUCUUUACAUCACUUUGGUUCUUCGGCUCACACUAACUCUAGUGUCACUUUACUUUACGUUUCCAAAUGCCACUCGAUCUAUGUCAUUGUGCCACUCUCUUCUUUUGCUUACUCUGGGUGCUCACAUUUUCUCUCAUGCAUACAUCUAGGGUUUUGACAUUAUUAGGUUCUCAACCAUCUCAUUAUGCAAGUUGUGCUCACAAUCAUNUUUUCUUCAAAACUUCUGCGAUCAACUCUUCAAGACUCCAACGAACUUUACGAAAUUCGCCAACCUAUAAAAUCCUUAACACACAACUUCCUGGAGCUGCUCGAAUCGAGCCUCCUGGCGCUGCAUCGCGCCGAACAUUGCAGCGACCUGCUCCCGUAGUUCCUGCAUUUUCUCCGAUCUUGGCUGCUCGGGCUCCGCAGAAGGCGGUACCGGAGCAGACCUACGCACAUACCGUCUCGGGGACAUUUGCUCCUGAAAAGCAACAACUCGAUUAGUUAUCUUAAUCUGNCAAGGAUCUAUCCAUUACUCACCUAGCCGUCUCGAUCACUACACAUCCGAGACCGUCUGCGGGACCCCAAAUAGGCCAUCCCUCGGGAUCCCAAGUAGGCUAUCCCUAUCCCACGGGACCCCAAAUAGGCCAUCCCUCGUGACUGACUCCGGAGCGCACUACUUGUGUGGAGCGACCACCACAAGUUGUGUCACGCCCCGGGCCCGAUGCCAAUUGGGCCCGACCCGAGCACGUCAAACAGACGCCGAACGGACAGAGUUUCCCUUAUCCGCCCAAGGCUCAUCACAUGUACAUUUUCAAUAAGAAGUGCACUAGCGGAAACAUACACAAACGGCUUACACGAGGGUAAGCAAUAGCCAUUANCUCCUAGGUCAUCCUAGACUCUCUCUUUACUUGCUCUUGGCUUUGAUACCACGUUAUCUGUCACGCCCCGAGACUGCUACCAAUUUGGUUCGGUCCGGGCCCGUCGAACAGACGCCGAACGGACAGGACCUCCCCUGUCCGCCCAAGGCUAACCAAAAGAUCAUAUAUAAGAAUUUACCCAAGAAUCAAUUCAUAGAUACACGAUCACGAGGAGCACCACCAGUGCUAACAAGACGAGAGCAAGAUACAAGUAUGGAAACAUAUACAAAUACAUAAAGAGAGAAGAUGCUAUCUAUUACAUUCAUUUGACUUAAUACAUUUAAUUACAUCUUUUACAUUCUUCCAAAAUAUAAAUACAAUCACUCAAACCUCACCCUAUACAACAUCUACUCUCAAACAUAAUACAGGGUAAAGCUAAUGCAAAAGGUAGGUAGCUAAUGCAACUAGAGCGCUAGGCCCUUACCGCGAUCCUCGAGCUCACCCGGGACACCCGAACUCGAACCUGUAAAAAGUGGGGUGAGAACUAUCUUCCAUAGUUCCCAGUGGGUUCGGCCGCCGACUCCGCCGGUCUCCUCACUAGGUCCAAGUGGGCGCAAGUANNNNNNNNNNNNNNNNNNNNNNNNNNNNNNNNNNNNNNNNNNNNNNNNNNNNNNNNNNNNNNNNNNNNNNNNNNNNNNNNNNNNNNNNNNNNNNNNNNNNNNNNNNNNNNNNNNNNNNNNNNNNNNNNNNNNNNNNNNNNNNNNNNNNNNNNNNNNNNNNNNNNNNNNNNNNNNNNNNNNNNNNNNNNNNNNNNNNNNNNNNNNNNNNNNNNNNNNNNNNNNNNNNNNNNNNNNNNNNNNNNNNNNNNNNNNNNNNNNNNNNNNNNNNNNNNNNNNNNNNNNNNNNNNNNNNNNNNNNNNNNNNNNNNNNNNNNNNNNNNNNNNNNNNNNNNNNNNNNNNNNNNNNNNNNNNNNNNNNNNNNNNNNNNNNNNNNNNNNNNNNNNNNNNNNNNNNNNNNNNNNNNNNNNNNNNNNNNNNNNNNNNNNNNNNNNNNNNNNNNNNNNNNNNNNNNNNNNNNNNNNNNNNNNNNNNNNNNNNNNNNNNNNNNNNNNNNNNNNNNNNNNNNNNNNNNNNNNNNNNNNNNNNNNNNNNNNNNNNNNNNNNNNNNNNNNNNNNNNNNNNNNNNNNNNNNNNNNNNNNNNNNNNNNNNNNNNNNNNNNNNNNNNNNNNNNNNNNNNNNNNNNNNNNNNNNNNNNNNNNNNNNNNNNNNNNNNNNNNNNNNNNNNNNNNNNNNNNNNNNNNNNNNNNNNNNNNNNNNNNNNNNNNNNNNNNNNNNNNNNNNNNNNNNNNNNNNNNNNNNNNNNNNNNNNNNNNNNNNNNNNNNNNNNNNNNNNNNNNNNNNNNNNNNNNNNNNNNNNNNNNNNNNNNNNNNNNNNNNNNNNNNNNNNNNNNNNNNNNNNNNNNNNNNNNNNNNNNNNNNNNNNNNNNNNNNNNNNNNNNNNNNNNNNNNNNNNNNNNNNNNNNNNNNNNNNNNNNNNNNNNNNNNNNNNNNNNNNNNNNNNNNNNNNNNNNNNNNNNNNNNNNNNNNNNNNNNNNNNNNNNNNNNNNNNNNNNNNNNNNNNNNNNNNNNNNNNNNNNNNNNNNNNNNNNNNNNNNNNNNNNNNNNNNNNNNNNNNNNNNNNNNNNNNNNNNNNNNNNNNNNNNNNNNNNNNNNNNNNNNNNNNNNNNNNNNNNNNNNNNNNNNNNNNNNNNNNNNNNNNNNNNNNNNNNNNNNNNNNNNNNNNNNNNNNNNNNNNNNNNNNNNNNNNNNNNNNNNNNNNNNNNNNNNNNNNNNNNNNNNNNNNNNNNNNNNNNNNNNNNNNNNNNNNNNNNNNNNNNNNNNNNNNNNNNNNNNNNNNNNNNNNNNNNNNNNNNNNNNNNNNNNNNNNNNNNNNNNNNNNNNNNNNNNNNNNNNNNNNNNNNNNNNNNNNNNNNNNNNNNNNNNNNNNNNNNNNNNNNNNNNNNNNNNNNNNNNNNNNNNNNNNNNNNNNNNNNNNNNNNNNNNNNNNNNNNNNNNNNNNNNNNNNNNNNNNNNNNNNNNNNNNNNNNNNNNNNNNNNNNNNNNNNNNNNNNNNNNNNNNNNNNNNNNNNNNNNNNNNNNNNNNNNNNNNNNNNNNNNNNNNNNNNNNNNNNNNNNNNNNNNNNNNNNNNNNNNNNNNNNNNNNNNNNNNNNNNNNNNNNNNNNNNNNNNNNNNNNNNNNNNNNNNNNNNNNNNNNNNNNNNNNNNNNNNNNNNNNNNNNNNNNNNNNNNNNNNNNNNNNNNNNNNNNNNNNNNNNNNNNNNNNNNNNNNNNNNNNNNNNNNNNNNNNNNNNNNNNNNNNNNNNNNNNNNNNNNNNNNNNNNNNNNNNNNNNNNNNNNNNNNNNNNNNNNNNNNNNNNNNNNNNNNNNNNNNNNNNNNNNNNNNNNNNNNNNNNNNNNNNNNNNNNNNNNNNNNNNNNNNNNNNNNNNNNNNNNNNNNNNNNNNNNNNNNNNNNNNNNNNNNNNNNNNNNNNNNNNNNNNNNNNNNNNNNNNNNNNNNNNNNNNNNNNNNNNNNNNNNNNNNNNNNNNNNNNNNNNNNNNNNNNNNNNNNNNNNNNNGGUUCCCGAACGUCGUCCCAGCGCAGCCAGAGCUGCUGCGCGCAGUGCAACCGGUCUCUCUUUGUGGGACCGGUCUCUCGGGGACCGGUCUCUCAGGCAGGGACCGGUUCCCGAGAGCUACUUUCUCAGGACUUAGCCGAUUUUUCGGCUGUCUCAUUUCAUACGCGUUCGGGGACCGGUCUCUCCCUUCAGGGACCGGUCCCCGAGAGCUGAAAACCUACAGUUCUGCAGAAUUUGAUUCUUUAGCUCUCGAAAACCUCCCGUAACUCACUUUUGAUCAUUUUAACACCUUCGGACUUUCCGAAGUGUUCCGUCCUCGCACUUUGGUCAAUUUGACUAAAGUUCGAUAUUUAUUUUUCGAAUUUUCGGUAUAUUACAAGUUGGGAGCAGACAAUGAGUAUGAUCCCAAUUCUCCCACCUCAAGGGUACCCUACCCUCUAGGGUUGCUGUCACCAUGGUCAAUAGGUUCUAUGUGCGCUACGACUCACAAUGCCACUCGUUCUUUGUUAAUUAAUUACUAGGUGCCACUCAUUCUUUUAUUUCAACUAUUUUCAUCACUACACUAUAGGAUUACAAAACUCGACCCAAUUCUCAUCAAUCCCCUAUAUCCAGUUACUAAAGCAUAAUACGAUAUCAGAUGGGAAAUCAUAAGGAAAGGCGAUGCACAAUCAUCCUACAAUGCAUAUGAACUAAGGAUACAAAGUCUUAAAAUACUAAGACAUAAGAGGGAGCCCGAUUGCUUCGGGAUGGACACCACCCACCUCUUGGCGAUGCUGCGACGGUAGAAAACUCGACGCUGCGGUCAUUGCACGUCGCUUCCACUCCUCGGGGCGAAGCGAGCCCUCGAGUAUCCGAUUCGGCGAUAACUCCGCACUCGCUCGUCGGAUCGACAAACCGUCUUCGCCGACGCGUCUAAGGACCUAGCAAUUAGGUUUGGGACCCAUUAAAAUAGAUCAAAACCCUAGAUUUGCCAAAAUCCCAAAUCUGUGCCCUAGAAUGGCAACGAGGGAGAAAUCCGUGGUGCGAGCUUCGAUUUCGAGCUCGAACCAUCUCCCUUGCUUCAAUAGGUUCCAUUCGAACCAUUUCCAAGCCAUAAAAUCCUCAAACCCUAAAAACACCAUUAGAGGAUUUAGAGCUUACCUCUAUUUAAAGCUCCAAGCUUGCUCUAGCUUGAAGAAGAGAGGGAAGAAGACCUUCUUCUUUGUCACGCCCCAAGAACGAUACCAAUUUGGGUAGGCCCAAGCUCGUCAAACAGACGCUAAACGCACAGAGUUUCCCCUGUCCGCCCAAGGCUCAUCACAUGUACAUUUCAACAAAGAAAGCACAAGCGAAAACAUACAAAAACGGCUUACACGAGGGUAAGCAAUAGUCAUUAGUGAAAGAUAGGAAACUAACCUUUACACAAGUUCUAUGAUUCAUUUUGAUCAUAUACAUUGCAUUCAACUCGUACAUUUUUGAUUCUUUACCUUUCAUUACACCUUUGCAUCAUUUCUUUCUUACAUCACAUUUACCUCAAAAUAAGCUUUACACUCUUUCCUUUGCUUUAUACAUUAACAUCAUGAAUCAUCAAAUACAAAAGAUGAUAAAAGGGUAGCUACUAACAAAAUGUAACCCAACUUUGGUGGCCUCUGUCUAAGGCGCGAUCCCUUUACCUUGGUCGCUCGCCGGCUCGCUCGGUCCCGGCUCUGUGGAAUAGUGGGGUGAAAACUAUAACAAAGUUCCCAGUGGGUUCGGCUCCAACAUCACCGACUUUCCCACUAGGACUAACUCAGGCAUAAUAGAAAGGAUAAGCUGAAUGUAGUAACCAAUCUAUAAUACAAUGCUAAUAUGCCUGAACAAUAAGCAGGAAAAAAUGCUCAACAUUAUCAUAUGCAGAUUAUGCAAGUUCUUUAGUUCUUUGCACUUUACACUUUAUCUUUGUUCUUUGUUCUUUGCUCUUUGUUCUUUUAAUCUCAAGGCUAACCCGAGGGUUUCGCCCCAUUAACUUGCUUCACAUUAAGUCCAUCAUCGCAGGAACUCACCCGCUAGGACCGUCCUUCGGGUUUACUCCAACCCGUGAUACAUAACUCCGGAGCGCAUCGCCCGAGGGGGAGCGACCACCCUCGAGCACGGAACUCAUAGCAAGUAUGAUCGAAUCCUUAACUUCUAAGGAUUUUAAGUUCAAUCUUGACUUUACACUAACUCUAGUGUUCUUUACAUCACUUUUUGUUGCUACUCUAGCAAUCUUUGUUCUUUACCAUUCAUUACUCUUGCUAACUCUAGCAAUCUUUAUUCUUUACGCCCCACUUUGUUUUCACUUUAGUCAUUAGCAUUAUUCAUUACAUCACAUUGAUUCUUUGCCUCACACUAUCUCUAGUGUCACUUUACUUUACAUUUUCAAAUGCCACUCGAUCUAUGUCAUUGUGCCACUCGGUUCUUUUGGCUCACUUUGGUACUCACAUUUUCUCUCAUGCAUACAUAUAGGGUUUUAACAUUCAUAAGGUUCUCAACCAUCACAUUUAGCAAGUUGUACUCACAAUCAUGCAACAUCACAUUUUCAUCAUCACUUUACCCUAAAAUGCAUGCAACAAUGUAUAUACAUAUGCUCAAUUGAAUGACACAUUAGGCAUAGAGAGAAGUUCAACGAGUUUGGAAAGCACCACCCACCUCGUAGGUCUAUUUAGGUUCUCCGAUGAUUUUCUUGAGAUUUAUAGGCUCCUCGUUCUUCACCUGCGGCAAACGAAGCCAACUUAGGCCAUUUUGCCCAUAUCUUUCUAUAGACUUUUCGUAACGUUAAUCCGAGCGCACCAACCCGUCGGAAAUACCCCCAAUUAGAUUUUUAGAGGGUCAAUUGCACUUAAAAAUCCCCAUGAGCAAAAGCCCCAAUUUGGGUGCCCUAGCUCCAAAGCAUCAUCAAACCUAGGGCUUGAUCUCAUUGGGAAGCAAAAGUAGCUUCAUUAUACUCUAAAAAGUCCAUUAGAACCAUUCUUAGCUCACUCCAAACUCUAGUUUGGAUUUCACCAUGAGAAGUGGGUUGAAGCUCACCUUUGAGCUUUUCAAGGUUUUAAUCUCUAAAGAAGCAAAAAAAAGCUUCAAAACUCCUCAAACAUUCCAUUAAAACCCAUUUCUAGGUCAUUCGAAACUCAUUCUAGGGUUUUACUAUACUAGAGAUCAAAGCUGUCACGCCCCGGGACCGAUGCCAAUUUGGCCCGACCCGAGCACGUCAAACAGACGCCGAACGGACAGAGUUUCCCCUACCCGCCCAAGGCUCAUCACAUGUACAUUUUCAUCAAUAGAGAAAAGCACUAGCGGAAACAUACACAAACGGCUUACACGAGGGUAAGCAAUAGCCAUUAGUAAAAGAAAAAGGAAACUAAACAUUCACAAGUAAUAUGAUUCAUUUUAGAUCAUAUACAUUGCAUUCAUCUAGUAAUUUAUCGAAUUCUUACAUUCAUUACAUCAUUUCAUCAUUUCUUUCUUACAUCACAUUUACCCCAAUAUAAGCUUUACAUUCUUUCUUUACAUCACUAUUCAUCAAAUACAAAAGAUGAUCACAAGGUACUUUACUACAAAAUGAAACCCAACAUUGGUGGCCUCUGACUAAGGCGCGAUACCUUUACCUCGGUCGCUCGCCGGCUCGCUCGGUCCCGGCUCUGUGGAAAUAGUGGGGUGAGAACUACAACAAAGUUCCCAGUGGGUUCGGCCCCAACAUCACCGACUUUCCCACUAGGACUAACUCAGGCAUAAUAGAAAGGAUAAGUAGGAUGUAGUAACCAAUCUAUAACAUGAUGCUAAUAUGCCUGAACAAAUAGCAAGAAAUAUGCUCAACAUUAAUUAUAUGCAGAUUAUGCAAAUUCUUUCGUUCUUUAUCUUUACAUUUGUUCUUUGUUCUUUGUUCUUUGAUCUUUAAUCUCAAGGCUAACCCGGGGGUUUCGCCACAUUGACUUGCUUCACAUUAAGUCCAUCAUCGCAGGAACUCACCCGAUAGGACCGUCCUUACGGGUCUACUCCAACCCGGAUGCAUAACUUCGGAGCGCAUUGCCCGAGGGGGAGCGACUGCCCUCGAGCACGAAACUCAUAGCAAGUAUGAUCAUAUCCUUAACUCAAAGGAUUUAUAAGUUCAAUCUUGACUUUACACUAGCUCUAGUGUUCUUUACAUCACUUUAUGUUGCAAACUCAUGCAAUCACAUUCUUUACUUUUCUUUUACUUUUGCUAACUCUAGCAAUUAUAUUCUUUACAUUCUUUACUUUUGGCUACCUCUAGCACUUCGUGUUCUUUAUUCCCCACAUUACUUUAACUUUAAACAUUGUCAUUUUCAUCAUUCUUUACAUCACUCUAGUUUUUUACAUCACACUAACUCUAGUGUCUCUUUACUAUACAUUUUGAAAUGCCACUCGAUCUAUGUCAUGGUGUCACUCUGUUCUUUUGCUCACUUUGGAUGCUUACUUUUUCUCAUGCAUACACAUAAGGUUUUCGACAUUAUUAGGUUCUCAACCAUCUCAUUAUGCAAGUUGUGCUCACAAUCAUGCAAUCAUCACAUUUCAUCAUUACUUUACCCUAAAAUGCAUCAACAUAUCAUAGUCAUAGAACAUAUGCUCAAAGGAUGACACAUUAGGCAAGAGAGAAUUUCAAUGAAGUUUGCGAAGCACCACCCACCUUGUAGGUCUCUUUAGUGCUCCGAUGAUUUUCUUGGGAUUUUUUGUCCUUCGUUCUUUACCUGCGGCAAAUGAAGCCAACUUAGGCCAUUUUUGCCCAAUCAUUCAUUGGCUUUUCGUAACGUUAAUCCGAGCGCACCAACGGUCGGAAAUACCCACCCAAUUAGGUUUUUUAGAGGGUCAAUUGCACUUAGAAACCCUCAUGAGCAAAAAGCCCAAUUUGGUGCCUGUUCUCCAAUGUGUAUCAAAACCUAGGUUUGAUAUCUAUGGAAGCAAAAGUAGUUCACUAUACUCUAUAGUCAACUAGAACCAUUCUUAGGCUUUCCAAACCCUAGAUUAGAUUUCCACCAUUAGAGGUGGUCCAACGCUCACCUCUAUAGAAUCUAGGUUUGAUCUCUUUAGAAGCAAAAGAAAGCUUCAAAACUCUUCAAAUAUUUCACUAAAACUCAUUUCUAGAUCAUUCAAACCCAUUCUAGGGUUUUACUACAUUAGAGUUCAAAGCUUACCUUGUAAGGCUUCCUUUUCUUCAAGCUAGAGAUGAAGGAGAGGGAGUUUUUCUUCUUCUUCCUCUUCUCCACUUUCUUCCUCUUUCUUCCUUCUUUUCUUCCUUUCUUCUUCUUCUCUUUUGCUUUCUAGGAAGAGAGGGAGAGAAGAGAGUGUGAGAGGGUGAGGAAAUGAGAGAAAUAUCUCAUUUGGCCUCAUACAUAGAUAUUGGGUUGCCAAAAUGCAAAUAAACCCUUCAACUUUUACUCUGUGCACUGCCUGGCUGGGCUGAUCGCGCGGCAGAGACCGCGUCUCCCGAGCAGGACCGGUCUCGAACGUCCACCUGCGCAGCCAGAGCCGCUGCGCGCGAUGCGACCGGUCUCUCUCUGAUGGACCGGUCUCUGGGGGACCGGUCUCUCAGGCAGAGACCGGUUCCGAGAGCUAAUCUUCCAGACUUUAGCCGAUUUUUCGGCUGUCUCAUUUCAUACGCGCUCGGGGACCGGUCUCUCCCACCAGGGACCGGUCCCCGAGAGCUGAAAAUCUGGCAGUUUUUGUAGAAUUUGAUUCUUUAGCUCUCGAAAACCUUCCACAACUCAUUUGUUGAUCAUUUUAACACCUUCAGACUUUCCGAAGUGUACCAUCCUCGCACUUUGGUCAAUUUGACUAAAGUUCGACAUUUCUAUUUUUCGAAUUUUCGGUAUAUUACAAAAGCUUACCUCAAGCUUUCCCUAAGUUGAUCCAAGGAGGAAGAAGAAGAGGUAGGCUCACUACUUGAUCUUCUUCUUCACCUUCUUUUCCUUCUUUUCUUUCUUUUCUUUCUUUCCUCUUCUUCUUCUUUGUCUUCUAGGAGAGAGAGAGAGAGAGAGAAGAGAGUGUGAGAGGGUGGGGAAAUGAGAGGUGAAGGCUCUCAUCCCACAUAACAUAGCCCAUAUGUUGCAAAAAUGCAAAUAAGUCCCUAAGCUUUUAUUCCAUUACACUGCCCAGAUUGGGCAGAUUUCGCAGGCGGGGACCGGUCUCCCCGAGCAGGGACCGGUUCCCGAAGGUCCACCCUGCGCAGCCAGAGCUGCUGCGCGCGAUGCGACCGGUCUCUUCUUGAGGGGACCGGUCUCUCGGGGACCGGUCUCUCAGGCAGGGACCGGUUCCUGAGAGCUGGUUUCUCAGGACUUAGCCAUUUUUCCUCGUUUCUCAUUUUUCAUGCGUUCGGGGACCGGUCUCUCCUUCAGGGACCGGUCCCCGAGAGCUCAAAACUGCAGAGUGCAGAUUUUGAUUCCAUAGCUCUCGAAAACCUCCCGUAACUCACUUUUAAUUAUUUAAACACCUUCGGACUUUCCGAAGUGUACCAUCCUCGCACUUUGCUCAAUUUGACUAAAGUUCGAUAUUUAUUCACCGAUGUUUUUGGUAUAUUACAUUCUUCUUCUUCUUGGACUUCUCCUUCCACUUCUUCUUCUUUUCCUUCCUCUCCUUCUUUUCCUUCUUCUUCUCCUUCUUUUCUUUCCUAGAGAGAGAGAGAAAGAGUAUGAAAGGAAGAGAGAGCAAAUGAGAGGAAGAGAGGUCCCCCAGCCUCUAUUAAAGGUCAUUUUGCAAUUAGGCCCCUCAACUUUUCUUCUUCUGAACCAGCCCUCACUGGGCAUUUUCGCAGUGAGGGACCGGUCCCAGCUCGGGGAGGCCGGUCCCCGAAAGCUACAAUUCCGAGCAGAGGGGUUUUCGCGUUCGGGAACCGGUCUUUACCUGAGAGACCGGUCCUCGGGAGACCGGUCCUUGUCCGAGAGACCAGUUCCCGAGAGUUGUGUUUUCGGGACUUAGCCAAAUUCCGGCCAAUCGUGCUGGGCCAACGUUCGGGAACCGGUCCCUGCCUGCCAGGGACAGGUCUCAUCAGAGACCCGCGCAGCCCAGCCUGAUGGGACCGGUCCUUCCAUGCCAGGGACCGGUCCCCGAGAGCAUUUCUGCUCCAGUGCAGGUUUUGCACUGGUGCUCUCGCGGACCUUUCCUUAAUGCACUUUAUGCAUUAUAGCCACCUUCGGACUUUCCGAAGCUUACACACUCAACGAAUAGUCGAUUCCAAAUCGAAGUCUAAUCCUCCGAUUUCGAGGAUUCACUUCCUUACAGGAAGAGUCCGCGAGAGCACCAGUGUGAAAUCUGCACUGGAGCAUAAUUGCUCUUGGGGACCAGUCCCUGGGAGGGAGGGACCGGUCCCAUCAGGCUGGGCUGCGGGAAUCCUUAGGGCGAUCCGUCCCUGGUAAGGGAAGACCGGUCCCCGAACGUUAGCCCAGCGAGAACAGCCGAAAUUUGGCUAAGUCCCGAAAAUCCAACUCUCAAGAACCGGUCUCUCGGACAAGGACCAGUCUCUCGGGGAUCGGUCUCUUAGGCAGGGACCGGUUCCCGAACGCGAAAUCCCUUCUGCCCGAGAUGGAAGACUCUCGGGGACCGGUCUCCCCGAGCUGGGACCGGUCCCUUACUGCGAAAAUGCCCAGUGAGGGCUGAUUAAGAAGAUAAAAAGUUGAGGGGGCUAUCUACAAUGGCCUUUAAUAGAGGCUGGGGCACCACUCUUUCUCUCAUUUGCUCUCUCUCCCUCUCACACUCUUUCUCUCUCUCUCUAGAACGAAAGGAAAAGAAAAGGAGAAGGAGAAGAAGAGAAAGAAGGAAAAUAAGAAGAAGAGGGAGGAGAAGACAAAGAAGAAGAAGAAGAUCAUCUUCUUCCCUCUCUCCUUCAAGCUAGAGCAAGCUUGAAGCUUUGUGUAGAGGUAAGCCUCAAACCCAUCCAUGGUAGAUUUAUUGAGAUUGGGUUUUAUUGCUUAGAAAUGGUUCGAAUGGAACCUAGAGGAGAUAAAUAGAUGGUUCGGGCUCGCAAUUGAAGCUCGCACCACGGGUUUCCUCACCGUUGCUAACCUAGGGCACGGAAUCGGGAUUUUUGGGAAAUCUAGGGUUUUGAUCUAUUUCGAUGGGUUGUAAACCUAAUUGCUAGGUCGCGAAACGCGUCGGCGAUGACGGUUCGUCGAUACGACGAGCGGGUGCGAAGAUAUCGCCGAAUCAAGCGCUUAAGGGUUCGGAUCGACUCGAGAAGGCGAAGCGUCGACCAAGGACUACGAAAUCGAGUUUUCUACUAGUGCGGCAUCACCAAGAGGUGGGUGGUGACCAUCCCGAAGCAAUCGGCUCCUUUUUAUGUCUUAGUAUUUCGAGACCUUGCAUCCUGUGUUUACAUGCAUUAUAGGAUAAUUGUGCAUUGCCUUUCCUUAUGCUUUCCUAGCUGAUAUCAUAUUAUGCAUUAGUUGCUGGAUAUAGGGGAUUGAUGAGGAUUGGGUCGAGACUUGUAAUCCUAUAGUGCAGCGGUGAGAGAACGAUGCCAUAGUUAAAAUAAAGGAACGAGUGGCAUCUAGUUGUUAAUUAAAAUAAAAGAAUGAGUGGCAUAUGUGAGUUGUAGUAUAUAUGAAACCCAUUGCCUAUGGUGAUAGUAACCUUAGAGGAUAGGAUACCCCUUGAGGUGGGAGAAUUGGAUCCUACUCAUUGUCUGUUCCCGACUUGUGGUGGUCGCUCCACACAAGUUGUGCGCUCCGGAGUCAGUCACGAGGGAUGGCCUAUUUUGGGUCCCGUGGGAUAGGGAUGGCCUAUUUGGGGUCCCGAGGGAUGGCCUAUGUAGGGUCUUGCAGACGGUCUCGGAUUCGUAGUAUCGAGAUGGCUAUGUGAGUAGUAGGCGGAUCCUUGAAUGAGCCACGAGAUUAAUGAACAAGUAAACAACCUUACUUCUUGGACAUAUGAAGAGCUAGUUGAUUAUCCAUUUCAUUGUGCAUGUAUUUUUAUAUACAUGAUUUAGGCACGGUAGCAUAGCUUUGCUAUUCUGUUAUUACAGCUUCCCAUAUCUAUCUAUCUGUUUAUCUUCUUGUGCCCGCUUGGACCUAGUGGGGAGACCGGCGGAGUCGGCGGCCGAACCCACUGGGAACUAUGGAAGAUAAUUCUCACCCCACUCUUUUCAGGUUCGUGCUCGAGUGUUCCCGGCGAGCGCGAGGAUCGUGGUAAGGGCGUAGCGCCCUAGUUGCAUUAGCUAUCCACCCAUUUUGCAUUAGCUCUACCAUGUAUUAUGUUGAGAGUAGUUGUUGUAUAGGGUGAAGUUUGAGAGUGCUUGUACUCAUGUUUUGGAAAAAUGUAAAAGAUGGUAUUAAAUGUAUUAAGUUGAAUGAAUGUAAUAGAUAGAACCUUCUCUCUUUAUCUACUUGUAUGUCUCAUACUUGUAUCUUGCUCUUGUUUUGGUUGGCACUGGUGGUGCUCCUCGUGAUCGUGUAUUCAUGAAUUGAUUCCUGGAUAAUUCUUUUACAUGAUCAGUUGGUUAGCUUUGGGCGGACAGGGGAGGUUCUGUCCGUUCGGCGUCUGUUCGACGCGCCCGGAUCGGGCCAAAUUGGUAGCGGUCUCGGGGCGUGACAGAUAAAGUGGUAUCAGAGCGUAAGAGCAAGUAAAGAGAGAGUCUAGGAUGACCUAGGAGACUCUAGAUUGUUAAACCCUAAGAUUAUAGGGGCGUGAGUGAAUGUGAACCUAUGGCGGUGGCGGAAGUUGAUUGAUUGGUUCGAAGUUGAUAUUAUGUCUCUAGCUGUGAAUAGAGACGGAUCCAAGUGAUACUAGUUUCUUGGCUCGGAGUGGUUGUGUCGGCGGCCGACGACGCGACGCUAAGAGUCGAGAACUAGGACACUUGUGGGCUUCCACCCGAUUUCAUUGUCGAGUCGUUUAAUUUCAUGAGCUAAGAAGUUAUCGGGUAAGAUAACUAACUGAGUUAUUGCUUUUCAGGAGCAAAUGUCCCCAAGACGAUAUGUACGCAGGUCUGCUCCGGUACAGCCUCCUGUGGAGCCCGAGCAGCGAAGAUCGGAGGAAGUGCAGGAGCUGCGGGAGCAGGUCGCUGCGAUGUUGGGCGCGAUGCAGCGCCAAGAGGCUCGGUUAGAGUAGCCCCAGGGAUUCGUGGAGCGGCAAGCAGCGGCGGCGGCCGCGACGGAGACGGAGGGCCGCGCGCCGUUAGCAGCUGAGGUUGAGGGCAUAGCGACGGUUCCGGUGGCGGCAGUUCCCCCGCCAGCAAGUGAACCUCCGACAGCUUCGGGUUCGGUGACACCUGAUACAACGGCCGAGGAAGUGGAGCGGGAGCGUGCGCUGACGGCUCUAAUGAAAUUCCUGAAGUUUAAGCCACCAACCUUUGAAGGGGGAAAGGUGGAGCCGUCGGUGGUGGAGUCUUGGAUUGACUCUAUGGAGACCCUCUUCGAGGACCUAUAUACCUCGGAGAAGGACAAGGUGCACCUCGCCACACACUGUUUGAAAAAGACGGCGAAAGUGUGGUGGAAGCGGUUGAAGCGGGAUCGGCCCUCUGACCUUCCACCAAUGCUCUGGGAGGAGUUUAAGGGGGCAAUGUUUAGAAAUUACUUCCCCGACACCGAGAAGCGAAAGUUGAAGGAGAAGUUUUGCAAAUUGAGAUAGGGGGAUCGCUCAGUAGCAGACUACGAGCAGGAGUUCUCCCAUAUCAUAAACUGUGCCCCAGAUGUGGUUAAAGAUGAUGGGGACAGGGCCAAAUGGUUCUUGCGGGGACUUCGGCCGUGGAUAUAUCGGGCAGUGCAGUUGUUCAAGCUCACGACUUUUGCCAAAGUGUUUGAUAGGGCGCUGUGGGCAGAGCAUGGAGAUGCCCACGUGCGGGAGGAACGCGAGCUGCUGACUGGACCCCAAGACAAGGGGAGGAAGCGAUCGGGCGGCGGUUCGGGGGGACAAUCUAGUUCGAGGAGGCCCCCGAAGUAUCCGCGGUCGUAGUCGUGGGGCCGUGGGCCGCAGCAAUGCAUUAUCUGUGGAGACCGGGGUCAUCGAGCGCCGCAGUGUAGGCAACGUCAAGGUAAAUGCUACGACUGCGGACAGGAAGGGCACAUAAGCCGCAACUGUCCAAUAAGGGCCUCGUCUGCUCCGUCAACCGCGUCGACUCCAGCACCCCCGCCUCAUCAUGUAGGGGCCCCAUAUGUUCCUGUAUCAGCGGGACGCGCACUGAUGCCGCGUCAGCCGGAGGUGACUCGAUCAGCGCCGAGCGGACGGGUAUUCACCGCUCAGGCCCAAGCCGAGGAGUCUGCCCAAGCCGAGGAGCCUGAUGUUGUGGCAGGUAUGGUUCUAAUUAAUGGAGUUCGCUCAAGGGCUAUGUUCGAUACAGGCGCCACGCACUUGUUUAUUAGUAGAGCAUUUGCACGCAUGCAUGCAUACCCAUAGAAGCAAGUGGCAAGUGGCGAGUCGAGGGCCCUGAGUCGUCAUUCAAUACUUAUACGGAGUGCUCGUCGUGCCCAGUACAAGUAGGUGACUGGAUAAUGCCCAUCCGGAUGUUGGAGCUCAAUAAAUUGGAGGCAUAUGACGUCAUUUUGGGCAUGGACUGGCUCUCGAAGUAUUACGCCACGAUCGAUUGUAAGAAUAAAUCGAUCACUUUUCGGGAGCCAGGACAGAAGGAGUUCGUUUAUCGAGCCUAUCGGAGUUCUUGCUUCGUCGCGACGGUAUCGGCGACGAGAGCUAGGAAGUUGGUCACCGGCGGUUGCGUGGCAUUCUUGGCGACCGUCGUGGAAGUGGAUCGAGUGGUGCCGAAUUUAGAAGAGUUAUCGGUGGUGCGGGAAUUCACAGAUGUAUUUCCCACGGAGUUACCGGGGAUGCCGCCGGAUAGGGAGAUCGAGUUCGUUAUAGACUUGGUUCCUGGGACGGCGCCGAUCUCAAAGGCCCCAUACCGCAUGGCGCCGGCAGAGCUAAGGGAACUGAGGGAUCAGUUACAAGAUCUUCUCGACAAGGGGUUUAUCAGGCCGAGCAUAUCGUCGUGGGGAGCCCCGGUGUUGUUCGUGCGCAAGAAGGAUGGGUCGUUCCGACUCUGCGUGGACUACCGAGAGUUGAAUAGGGUCACGAUAAAGAAUAAGUACCCGUUGCCCCGAAUUGACGACUUAUUUGAUCAGUUGCAGGGGUCACGAGUGUACUCGAAAAUAAACCUACAGUCCGGCUGUAAGGGAAGUGAAUUCUCGAAAUCCGAGGAUUAGACUUCAUCUGGAAUCGACCAAUUGUCGAGGGUAUAAGCUUCGAAAAGUUCGAAGAUGAUUUGAAUGCAUAAAGUGCAUUAAGGAAGAGUCCGCGAGAGCAGCAGUGCAAAUCUGCACUGGAGCGGAAUUUGUUCUCGGGGACCGGUCCCUGGUGGGGAGGGACCGGUCCCAUCAGGCUAGGCUGGCGGGGACCCAUGAGGCAACAGGUCUCUGGCAGGUUAGGACCGGUCCCCGAACGUUAACCCAGCGAGACAAGCCGAAAUUUGGCUAAGUCUCGAAAAUCCAUCUCUCGGGAACCGGUCUCUCGGAUAAGGACCGGUCUCCCGGGGACCGGUCUCUCAGGCAGGAACCGGUUCCCCAACGCGAAAUCCCUUCUGCCCGAGAUGGAAGGCUCUCGGGGACCGGUCUCCCCGAGCUGGGACCGGUUCCUCACUGUGAAAAUGCCCAGUGAGAGGCUGCUUAAUAGAUGAAAAGUUGAGGGGCUUAUUUGCGAAUUGGCCUAUAUGAGAGGUGGGGGACCCCUCUCUCUCUCUCUGUUGUCUCAUUUGCCCUCUCUUUCUCUCCCUCUCUCUCUCUAGAAUGAAGGAAAAGAAGAAGAGAAGAAGGAGAAGAAAGGAAAGAAGAGGUAGAGAAAGAAGAAGGAGAAGAGCAAGGAGAAGAAGAAGAUCAUCUUCCUCUCUCUCCCUCAAGCUAGAGCAAGUUUGGAGCCUGGUAAAGAGGUAAGCUCCAAACCCAUCCAUGCUGGAUUUCUUGAAGUUGGGUUUUGUAGCUUAGAAAUGGUUCGAAUGGAACCUAAUGAGGUUAAGGAGAUGGCUCGAGCUCGAAAUGGAAGCUCGCGCCACGGAUUUCCUCACCGUUGCCAAUUUAGGGCACGGAUUUGGGAUUGUUGGAAAGUUAGGGUUUUGAUCUUGUUUAAUAGGUUGUAAACCUAAUUGCUAAGUCUUCGAACGCGUAGGCGAAGACGGUUCAUCGAUCCGACGAGCGAGUGCGGAGAUAUCGCCGAAACUAAUACUGGAGGGUUCGCUUUGCCCCGAGAAGUUGAAGCGAUGCAAAAGGACCGCGACGUCGAGUUUGCUAACUACGCGGCACUACCAAAAGGUAGGGGAGUGCCAUCUCGAAGCAGUCGAGCUGCUUUCUAUGUCUGAGUUAUUAUGUUGAUCAAUUGCAUAUUGAACAUGAGGCAUAUAGGGAACUAAAUUGCUAAUAACUAUAUUUGCAUGCUAGUGUUGAUGUAGCUUAGUUGGUAUAGCACUAACCUAGUAUGCAUGAGUUGAAUAUGAGAUGGUUAACCCUAUAUGUGUUGGAUGUACAUGUAGCUAUGAAAACAUAGUACAGUGUGGACUAGAGUACUGAGAACUUGUCAAAAGAACGAGUGGCAUCUAGUUAACAAUGAACACAAACGAGUGGCAUCUAGUUGAUAUUGAAUAUGAGAACACUAGUGUAGCAAAACACUAUGAGCUUGGGUAUUGAGAUGCUUGAUUCUAUGAUGACACCAACCUUAGUUCGUAGGACCAGUUCGUAAGUUCAGAUUAUACUCACAUAGCCUGUCUGCGCUUGUCGGGGUCGCUCCCCACAGGCUGUGCACUCCGAAGUAUUUGUCACUCGAGGGGCAGUUGCCAUGCGCUGCCUGGAUAGUCAGUGUAUCUGUCCGCAGGCGGUCUCCGGGAAUUGUUCAGCGAGGCUUUUCCCUAUGAGACUCAUAAUGUAAGGUACCGGACUUCUAAAACUAUGAAGUUACGGUGUGCAUUUGGUUGGAAAGCCAUUUGAAUCGUCCCGGUGAAGUUCGAUGAAGUUCGGAAGCAUUCGGGCGUUUCAGUGCGCGUAGGCGCGGAAAUGAGACCCGAAAGGCUAUGUUUGUCACGCCCCGAGACCGCUCCCAAAUUUGGUCCGGUUCGGGCACACCGACAGACCGCCGAACGGACAGAGUUUUCCCUAUACGUCCUAGGCGUCGCAACAAGUACAAUACAAAGGUUCCAACCAGGAACAGUACUCAGCAAACAGAAUUGUAUCAGGAAGGUAUCAAUCAACAUAAACACAUCCUAUGGUAUUACAUCCAUUCAUUUUACAUCACAAUUCCAUUACAUUCAACUUCCAAUACAAUUAAGUUAUUACAACAUUUAUUGAUUACAAUUUGAUACAUUUGCUUGCUUUCAUUUUCUAUACCCCUAAGCUACGUCGACGGGGUACUGCUAGCUCUGGUCUCUGGGGGUAGGGCGCUAUCUAUGGAGCUACGCCCUUGCCUCGCGCCGCCGCGCCGCUCACGUGCGAACCUGUAAAACCCCAAAACAACGUGGGGUGAGAACCAACUCCAUGGUUCCCAGUGGGUACAGCCACCCAAGGGAGGAGCUCGACCAACAGGUCCAAGGGAGGCAAAUACAAGUUAGUCCAAUAAACAGAUAGAUAUGUAUAUCAUAAACAUGCAACUAACUUUACCUUGCUUUGCCUCACAACUGCAAUGAUGUCAUGCUAUAUGCAACAGGAAUAUAUGCAACAACUAGUAGAAUUAUUGAUUCUACAAUCAAUCUUGCUAAUCUUAGCUCGUGCCAUCCAACUCUAAGGCUUCCACUACCUUAGGUUUAUCACAUUUACCACUAGCCCUCAAGGUUCUAUCUACCUUAUUCCAACUAGCCACCCGACUCGGCCUCGAGUCAAUCAAUAGCGGAUAAUCCGCGCUCUGCCCGGCUCGAGGUGAAGGACCCUGUCGCAUGCACCUCAGCCUGCAAGCCAAGAACCACAUCGCCCAACGGUCCGCCCGAAGGUCCAUGCACCGUGGUAAGGGAUCCGCCAGUGGGAGAGGAAACAUAGCCGCGUACACCUAUAGCCGAGAUCCCCGAUAGGGAGAGGAACAUGCCGCGUACACCCUAGCGCUCUUUGUUUUUGCUUAGUCAUAAUCCUCAAAGUUCUUCCGGUGGGAGAGGAACAUCGCCGCAUACACCCGCGGUCCAAGAACUAUUGAGUUCACAAGUACUGGGAUUCCGGAAUCGACUUCACAAGUCAAGGGUCCAUAUCCAACCCUAUACUAUUGACCUAUUUAGGUCCAAUACACUUUCCACCCUAGGUCCAACUGACUCUAGGUCUAAUGCCUCGAUUUCACAACCUAGGUUUACCUUAACUCUAGGUUCAGUUCUCAACCUAUGUUCUUUAACACUAGGUUAGAUGCCACACACCUAGAUCCCGACUCUAGGUUCAUACUCAACCUAUGUUCUUUAACACUAGGUUAGAUGCCACUCGUUAUUUAUCCUAGGUUCAACAACGCUAGGUUCAAUGUCAUCUAGGUUCGACCUAUGUUUAUUAACACUAGGUUAAUGCCACUCGAUCUACUUGAUAUCCUAUUUGUCAUAUCGAGUCCAUAUGCACAUGCAUCUUAUCUAACAUGCUCACAUGAUGUUACAUGCACCUAGCAUACAUUCCAAUGCACACAUACAUUGUCACGCCCCGGGACCGGCGGAGGCCCUCCCGGUAGCGUGCCCAGACCCGCCAUAUGUCUACACAUAUAAGGCGUCUACAAGAAAAGCGGAAGUCUAUUUGGAUGAGAUUGUCGCAUUGCACGGGUACCUACUUCUAUCGUAUCAGAUCUGAUGACCCGUUUUGUAUCCACUUUUGGAGGAGCUGACAGGACGCUCUGGUACCCGUUUUGCGACUUUCGAUCACACACUUUCCACCCCCAGAGUGACGGGCAGUCGGAGCGUACUAUACAGACUCUCGAGGACAUGCUUCGAGCCUGCGUGAUCGACUUCCAGGGAGGAUGUCGCAGCAUCUACCGAUGGCAGAGUUUGCUUAUAACAAACAGUUAUCAAGCAAGCAUUCAAGAUGGCACCGUUCGAGAACUAAUGGACGAAAGUGUAGAUCGCCACUUCAUUGAGUGGAAGUUGGUGAGAAGAUUGGCUUUAGGCCCAGAUGCUCGAGGAAGCAGAGGACGAGGUUCGCAUUGCUCGGGAGCGAUUGCUGACAGCCAAGAGUAGGCAGAGGAGUUAUCUGAAUCGCGUCGACGAAGACUUGGAGUUUUAGAUUGGAAACCAUGUGUCUUGAAAGUCUCGCCGACCAAAGAAUUCGAAGAUUGGAAUCCGGGCAAGUUGAGCCCCCGAUAUAUUGGACCGACGAGUUUUGGAGGCGUGUGGCGCCCGGUAGCGUAUCGACUCCUUUACCGCCAACUAUCGGCGUGUACACAAUGUAUCCAUGUAUCGGUCCUUCGAAGUACAUCCACGAUCCGGCUUCACGUGUUGGAUAUACACCUUGGAGCUGCGGGAUGAUUUGAGCUUUGAAGACAACCUUGAGGAUGUUAGCUCGCGAGGUAAAAGAUUGGCGGAACGAGAAAUUCCUUACGUGGAGGGAGCUUUGGAAGCAAACCAACGGAGCGCCGAGGCCACUUGGGAGCUGGAGAGCGCACUAAGGGAGCGCUAUCUCUAUCUUUUCAGACGGAGGCUUGAGGUACUUGUCAUUUCGAGUGCGCGACGAAACUCCUUUUAGAGGGGUGAAGUAACGCACUGACCUUUGCAAUGCGAGGUUCGAGUGUUUUGAUGUAUUUCGAGCUUUAUCACACUUUGGUGGAGGGUUUGUAGAAUGUUUUCCGACCCAAAAAGUUCGAAAACUGGAAUUCUGCACAAGUCCUGAAGUUUUUUACUCUCGGGGACCGAUCCGCUGGAAGAAGACGCGGUCCCCAGUGAGCAGUGCUGCGGCAGCCCUGAGGCAACCGGUCCCUGGCGGCGAACCGGUCCCCGAGCGCGUCUUCGCAGUGAGAGACCGUCCGCGCAGGAGAGACCGGUUCCUGAACGUUGGUUUUCGGGUUCCGCGCGAGAGACGGUCCCUGCUGGGAGAGACGUCCCUCUGGCGAAAACUGCCCAAGACCGGGCUGAUCCAAUAUUGGAUUUUUGAGGGCCCACAGAUUUUGUUACAAGAGAAGGCUUAUAUGGCCAUUCUCCUUCUCCUCUUCCUCACUUCACCAUUUCUUUUGCUUCUAGAGAGAGAGAGAGUGGGAGAGAAAGAGAGAGAAGAAGAAGAAGAGCUUGUAGAGGAUUGGGAGCUUCAUCUUCACCUUUUCUUCUCCUUUUUGGUGAUUGAGCUUGCCUUUGAGCUUGGUGUGGACCAAAUUUCAACCCUAGGCAUUUUGAGCUUGGAUUAAAAGCUUCAAAGGGUUAGUACCAUGUUUCUUCCUAUAGAUUCUUGUUUUGGUGGUUUUUGGGGAGAUGAAACCCUAGAAAAUGAGAUUUAGGGUUUGAUUUUGGCAUUUUUGAUCUAGGGCUUUGACUAAAAUUGUUGGUUUAGAACCUUCCUAAGGCUUGGAUUGGAAGGGUUCUAGCUCUCUUUUGGAGCUUAGGAAGAUUUCUCCUCUUGAGGUGAAUUUUGGGCCCUUUUUGCUUCUACUUUAAUGUUUGAUCUCUUGGUUAGUCGUAAGCUCUCGUAUCUCUUCGUGAUUAUUUUUAGGGUAUUUGAGACUCGGGGACAACUUUGUUCGGCGAAACGAGCGCCUACGCACGGUUCGGUGGUUUGACCUAAGCCACACAAUGAGAAAUUCUCAUUUGUGCUUAAUUAAGUAUUGUUAAAUGAAAAAGCAUGCAUAUUCUUGUUAUAAUGUAUUUAUUGUGAAUUUAGAAUGUUAAAAGGCCUUAUGUUAUAUAUGAUGAAAUUGGACCUCUAUAUAUGUAGAGAGUAGCUUGUAGGCCUAUAGUUGCUCUACAUUCUAUAUGAACGUGGUUUCAUGCUCCUAUAGUGUAAAUAGAUUGAUUCAUGCAUUUAAACCUAAGUUUAUUUGGACAUGAAAGUUGACAAAAUUGCCAUAUAGAGCUAUCGAACUAGAAUGUAUGGGAAUUGGAGAGCUAUAUCAUCAAGCGGCAUUGAGCUCGGGACAAUGUGUGAACCUAGUGGUUAGAGCUAUUGAGGGAUUGGGUAUAUGUGAACAUUAAUUGACUAAGUGUCAUCAAGGGCCCUAGCGUAAUGAAUGUUGGAACUCUCAUCUUAUGACUUAAGACUAGAUCCUUCAGGAUGCUAGUUAUGAUACCAGUUAAGACAUAGGAUUGGAUAUUUAGACUUGGACUAUGCUGCUUGCCAUUUGUGUCUCAUUCACACAUGCUUGUAAGGGUCGCUCCCUACAAGCCGGCACUCCGGAGUUAGCCUAUGCGACCUAUGUUCGCUCAUGCGGUAUUGAGAAGCCUACGGGGUCUAGUGGACAGACACAUUCCAAGAGUAGGAAUGUCGGGCUACACAGGCACUUAGGCGCACAAGCUGGACUACCUUUGGUAGGUCCUUAAUUGGAAAUGAAAUCGAUACGGUGUUGAGAUGGUUAAUCACUACAGAUAGGUUUAGUAUCGAAUUACAUUUAUAUGCUUUUAGCAUAGUGUUGAGACAUGUUAAUAUCUUGAUAGUCGUCUUUUUGCAUUAAAGCAUGUUUGGAUGCAUGACAGAACUUGCAUACUGUAUUCAUAAAGAUAAUAACAUAUCUAUUUUGAUAUCGUAAUGUACAUCACCAUGACAUCGUUAUACUUGAGUUUAUGUAAGUUAGCAUUUAAUUAUGCCUUUAUAUUGCUAUCAUUAUUGUACUUACCCUUUUCUUUGGGCUAGUGGUGCAUUGGAGCUAGAGGUCAGUAAUUGCCCACGCGGGAACUAUAAAAUUAUAGUCUCACGCGCCUCUUUUUCCGGAUGUUUUUCAGAGCUUCCACUAGGGUGAGCCAGGACGCGCGGAAGGGAGUUGCUUCGAGCUAGCUCCUACGAGGACGACUGCUAGGUGGUCUACCUCCGUUGUACUUUAUUUUGGAGAGGUUGAGAGUUUUACCAGUGUACUAGAGACCAACUUUUUAUAUAGAGGCUGAUACUUGUAUAAUCUUAUGUUUACUUUAUAUGUAUUAGUUAUGUUCUAUUACUAAUUUAGUAUAGAUGUUAGAACUUUACUCGCUCUGAGUAUCAUUAGUUGCCUUUUUAAAUNNNNNNNNNNNNNNNNNNNNNNNNNNNNNNNNNNNNNNNNNNNNNNNNNNNNNNNNNNNNNNNNNNNNNNNNNNNNNNNNNNNNNNNNNNNNNNNNNNNNCAAAUCAAAUUGACAAAAUCAAAAGGGGAUUUCUUCGGAACCCCAAAUCAAAUUGCAAAUCAAAGAUGAGUAUUACACGAAGCUUAACUGCAAAUUAAAUGUUCAUAUGACGAACCAAAUUGCAAUUAAGUUCGAAUUCGAACCCAAAUUGCAAAAUCAAGUUCACUACAAACACAAAUACAAUCCAAACAUUCCCCAAAUAAACCAAACAACAUCACAAUCAACGGCAAAUCCAACCCAAAAUAAUCGCUAACCCACUUCCACCAUAAAACAAAACCAAAAACUCAAUAAACCACAACCAAACCCAAUGAAAUCCAAACCCAUUUUCACACAUAAAACAAAACCCAAGCUAAAUCAAAUCAAACCCAACCUGAACCAGUCCAAAUAAGAACCAAAACGCCGAAACCCUAAAAUCAAACCCUAAACCCAAACCAUCAAAUACACCUAAACCAAAACACCAGAAUAAAACCCAAACUGGACCAAAUAAAUUCCAAACCCCAAGCCAAGUCCACAAUAAACCGAUGAACAAACUUGGACCCAAUAAAUCAAACCAAACCAGUCCACAAUAAAAACAAACCAAACUUGCGACCAAAAGAUCCAAACACCAAACCAAGUCCACACAUAAAUCAGAACCAUAAACUCAAACCCAAAUAAACCCAAACCACAAGUCAACAUACAAAAGCCAAGAUUCAUGGACUCAAGUCCACCCUCUUCAUCACAUGAAGCCAAAACCAAGUUCAAUGGACCAAAUCCCAUGAACCAAAACCAAUACUCAUGGGACCAAAUCCAUGAGACAAAAACAAGUUCAUGAACAAAUACCAUGAACCAUACCAACCUCGAUGGACCAACUCCCAUGAGCCAAAUCAGUUCAAUGGACCAAAUCCCACGAACCAAAACAAACUCAUGGACAUAAUGCCAUGAGCAAAACAAACCUCAUGGAUCAGAUCCCAUGAGCCAAACCAAACUCAUGGACCAAAUCCAUGAGCCAAAACCAAGUUCAUGCGAACCAUAUCAUUGAACCAUAACCAAAACCAUCGAUGAACAAGAUCCAUGAGCCAAAACCAGUAUGUACAAAAUUCAAGAUGAACAAAACAAACCUCAUGGACCAAUUCCCAUGAGCCCAAAAUCAAACCUCAUGGACCAAAUCCCAUGAACAAAAACCAAACUCAUGGACCAAAUUCAUGAGCCAAACCAGUUCAUGGACCAAAUCCCAUGAACCAAGAACCCCAAACCUAUGGACAAAUCAAAUGAGCCGAAACAAUCCUCGAUGGACUAAAUCGCAUGAGCCAAAAACAAACCUCAUGGACAAAUUCCCAUGAACAAAGAACCAAAUUCAUGGGACAAUCCUCAAUGAGCCAAAAACCAAAACCUCAUGGACCAAGAGUCCCAUGAGCCCAAACCAAACCUUAUGACCAAAUUCAUGAACUCAUACACAAAAACCUCAUGGACCAAUCCAUGACCACAAUAACCUCAUGGACCGACGAACCCCACAAACCAUACACCAAACCUCAUGGACCAAAUCCCAUGAACCAUAAAUCCAACCUAAUACCCAUAUCCCAUAAACCAAUACCCAAAUUCCAUGAACCAAUACCCAGAUCUCAUACCCAUAUCUCACGAACCAAUUAAACUCUAAUACAUAGAGUUUAAUAUCGAUUAGGUCUUAACACAUAUACUUAGGGCCUAAUCAAACUCAAAUUCAACUGAAUCCUAAUACGUAUAUUAGGAUUCAAUAAACCUAGAUAUGAUUCAUUCAAUCCCAUCUAUAAAGGUCUCUUAAUCGAAGGUGCCCCAAUCUACAGAGGGUAAUUAACAGUAGAUGCUUGCAUUUAUUGGAAGCCAUGGACCCGCAAUACCUGAUACCCACAUAUACAUAUAAAUACUCAUCUGAAUCAUGAAUACUACCCCACCGCCCCGAAAAAUCCAUCGACCGUGCGAGGUGCGUCAUUCGUGGUGGCAGACACCACCGACCUCGUAUGGUUAUAAAGGUGCUACGGUUUAAUUCUCGUGAUUUUUGGACGCUUAUUUCUUCCGACUGUGCAAAACGAAGCCAAAAUAGGCUUUUUCUUCAAUAUCUUUGCGUGGACUCGUCGGAUUUUCGAACCGAGUCUCCCAACGCGUCGGAAAUACCUUCAAUUAGGUUUUCAUAAGGUCAAUUUACAUUUAAACCCAUUUAUGACAAAAGCCCUAAUUUAGUGCCCUAACAAUGCCCUAUAGUAACAUAUACCAUGUAGAUCUUAGGGCAAGGCAAAAACAAGCUUAAUGUCGUCUAGGAAUCCUUUUAAAACCAUUUCUAGGUCAUUUAAACUAUUCUUAGGGCAUUUAAAACAAACCCUAGAAUUCUACCGUGAGAGCUCAUGGACAAAUAUGGAUUUUCAUGAGUUCCAUGGUCUCUACAAGGUUUCCUCACAUGUAAGAAGAUCAAAUCCAAGUGUUCUAGGGUAUAAAACCAAACCCUAACAUCAAUCUUACAAGAAACCUUACAUUAGCCUAGAAGCUCACCAAGCUACACCUUGUAGGAGAGUGUCACGCCCCGGGACCGGCAGCGGCCCUCCCGGUAGCGUGCUCAGACCCGCCAUAUGUCAACACAUAUAAGGCAUCUACAAUGAAAGCGGAAGUAAAAGUAAGAGAUAGAACAAAUAAGAUAAGUAGCAACUAAUGAUAUCAGAGCGAGUAAAGUUCUAUCAUCUACACACAAGGAAAGAAGUAAGGCUAAACAAUAAAAGAAACCAUAAGUAAUACACUAUCAGUCUCAAAAGUUCAAAAAAUGGUGGUCUCUAGUACACUGGUGAAACCCUCAACCUCUCGCAAAAUAAAAAGAAAAUACGUCGAUAGUAGCUAAAUAGGCUACGCAGCCUCUACUAAUCAAUUGCCUAGCUCGAGAGGAGCUAAUCGUCAUCGCAAACAGCGAACUCUGGCAUCCUCGGUACACAACCUCCGCCUGCCCCAGCUCUCUAAACGUCACCGUUCGAUCCUUGCAAUCGAUAGUGGCGUAGUACCUAGUCAACCAGUCCAUGCCCAACACUACAUCAAACUCUCCGAGUUUAUGCAACGCUAACAAGUCCACGGGCAUAAUCCAAUCUCCAACCCGAACAGGGCAACUGAGGCAAAACUCUCAAAUAUCCAAAGAGUGAUCGGGUACAGUAACUCGUCCCGGAUGCAACAAGGAUACUAGUGGGAUGCCAUGCAACUCGGCAAACAGCCGGUCAAUGAAUGAAUGCGAUGCACCGGUAUCAAACAAAGCUCUAACUCGAAUACCAUAAAGUAAAAUGAUACCUGCGACCACAUUCUCGGCUGCCGCCGCCUCCUCAGUCUGGGCCGCGUACAUGCGCCCGCUCGGGGCCUGUCGUGACCCCUCCGCCUGUCGCAGAACUGGCGGCCGUCCUGCCUGGUGAUGCGCAGAAGAUGUCCCCUGGCUGGGACCUGGCGAUGCUGGUGCAGAUGCCGCAGAUGGCGCUGGCAAUGGACUCCUCGGGCAGUCCGACUGGAAGUGGCCCUCCUGGCCACACAAGAAGCACCUGCCCCGGCUGCGUGAACACUGCCGCGGGUAAUGAGGACCGCCACAGAUCACGCAGCGGGGAGCCUGACGACGAUCGGGUCCUCCUCGCUGAGUAGACUGGCCACGUCCUCGCGACUGGCUCCGGCUCCUGGGAUGCCUCGGCGGCCUCUGUGAGUGCGUCUGACUCGCACCCUCAGCCGCGGGCCUCUUCCCCUUCCCUUUCUCCAAGCUCUCGCGACGCUCCUGCAGAUCCGCCGCUCCCGCCUCCACGAUCAAAGCUCGAUCCACAACCUCCCGGUAGGUCUGGAGGUUGGAAGACUGCACCAACCGGAAGAUAGAAGGCCGCAAACAGCGCUCAAAGAUGCGGGCCUUGUCCUCGUCGUCCCUCACAACAAAUGGUAUACAGUGUAGUAUCCGGGAGAACUCCCUCUAGUACUCAGCCACUGACCGCUCGUCCUGGCGCAAGCUGCGCAAAUCCUGCUCCAUCUUCCUCUUGACGCUGGUAGGAAAGUGGUGCGCCAGUAGAAGCUCCUUGAAUCGUGUCCAAGUAAUCGCCGCCAAGUCGGUGUUGGGGUUGUCCUGGAUAUCCAACCACCAACGAUAGGCCUCGCCGUCCAGAAAGUGAGUGGCGAGCCAAACUCUGUCCCUCUCCUCGACGAAGGUAUCUCGAAACAACUUCUCCAUAUGCAUCAACCACUUCUCAACAAUCCAGUGGUCGACGUUCUCGCCAUCAAACGUCCUCGGGCUGCACCUCCUGAACUCGCUGAGGCGCUCCAUAAGCCGAUCCCGCUCAGCUCCCUUGGCCAUCACGGGGAAUGCGGCCACCGUCGUCGGUCUCUGAACUGGUAAUGCAGCAACCACCUCCUCCCGAGGUGCGGUCGCCGGUGCCGCACGUGAAGAGCUGGGCGCGGGGGACUGCGCCCUCGGCGCGACGUCCACUACGGGUGCUGGCAGUGUGGGAACCUGGGUCUCCCUCGAAGCUGCCGCCUGCUGAAGUAGGAGGUCCUCGAGAUGCUUCAUCCGCGCCUCCUGCCGCUGAGCCACCUCGGCCUGUCGCUGCGCCGCUGUCGUCUGCUGCGCCAACAGAUCAGUGAGAACCGCAAGCUGGGCCCUCAAGUCACAGACCUCGCUAGAUCCGGAAGUAGCGGAGGUCUCGACCUUCUCGGGGUGUGCCGCAUCAUCCUCCCCAGCAGACUGGGAGCGUGUAAUCGGCAUCGACACUACAGAACAUAAAAGCGCAAGUUAGUAACCCACGCUAUUGCAACCCCGCUCAAAUAAAUAAAAUCCAAAUCAUGCGAAAGUAGGGAAGUGUCCUUCACUACUAACUCCCGAUGUUACGUUGUCGGCCGCCAACGUAACCCUCCGCGAAGUUAGAAGGCAUACACUCCGGUCAAACUCUAACUGUUUAGAGUUAUCAUCAAACCCAAUCAAAAUACUUUUGCUCACAAAUCAAUAGACCUCGUCUCUCACGAGCCUAAUUCCUAUAGUCCAACCGGUAUAAGGUUUGCUAGGUCCUCUAAGACUCAACCCUAGGUUCUGAUACCAAAUUAAUCUGUCACGCCUCGGGACCGGCAGCUGCCCUCCUAGUAGCGUGCCCAGACCCGCCAUAUGUCAACACAUAUAAGGCGUCUACAAUGAAAGCGGAAGUAAAAGUAAGAGAUAGAACAAAUAGGAUAAGUAGCAACUAAUGAUAUCAGAGCGAGUAAAGUUCUAUCAUCUACACCCAAGGAAAGAAGUAAGGCUAAACAAUAAAAGAAACCAUAAGUAAUAAACUAUCAGUCUCAAAAGUACAAAAAUGGUGGUCUCUAGUACACUGGUGAAACCCUCAACCUCUCGCAAAAUAAAAAGAAAAUACGUCGAGAGGUAGACCACCUAAGCUCGUCUCUCUCUGAAGGGCUAACUCAAAGCGACGCCCUUCCCACGGUCCCUAGCCUCUCCCGGCGUGGAAGGCUCUGUAAGAAAACAUAAAACAGAGGGCGUGAGAACUAUAAUUUAUAGUUCCCAGUGGGCAAUUACUGACCUCAGCUCAAUGCACCACUAGGCCCCAAAGAAAAGGGUAAGUACUAUAAGCAAUAAUGAAAAUAAUAAUAAAAGAAACGGUUUGCAUUUAAGAAAGCAAAGUAAAAUGCUAAACUACUAUGUUGCACAUAAGCAAGAUGUCAAAUGGUUGUACAUCUACUAUAGUCAAAUGAGGUAUGUCCAAGCAUGAAUACUAUAUCCCAACAUAGCGAACAAGUAGGUAACAUGAUCUACUAUGAUAAUGUACGAAGGAUAUGCUCUAUCAUGGCAAUGAGUAUACUAUGAUGCAAUAAAUAGGACUAUCAAGUAUACUACCCGUCUCAACACUAUGAUAUAAGUACGUCAUAGUAAUCCAACUACUAAUCCUAUCUAGUAGUGAUUAUUCAUUCUCAACCCUGUGUCGAUUUCCAUUUCCAAUUUGAGGACUUACCAAAGGUAGUCCAGCUUGUGCCGCCUAAGUGCCUGUGGUAGCCCAACAUCCCUACUCUUGGAAUGUGUCUGUCCCACUCGACCCCGUAGGCUUCUCAAUACCGCACGAGCGAACAUAAGUCGCAUAGGCUAACUCCGGAGUGCCGGCUUGUAGGGAGCGACCCUCACAAGCAUGUGCGAAUGAGCACAAAUGGCAAGCAAGCAAAGUCCAAGUCUCAAGUACCCAAUCCUCAUGUCUCUAACAUGGUAUAGUUACUAGCAUCCCGAAGAUCUAGUUUAAGUCACAACAUGAAGUUUCAAUACUACUAGUCUUGUGCCCUUUUAUGACACAUAGACAUUUUAAUGCACAAGUAUAUCCAACUCUCUCAAUGGCACUAUCCACUAGGUUCACACAUGACCCGAGCUCGAUGCCCCUUCAUGACAUUAGCCCAAUUAUUCACAGAUAGCACAAGUCCCCGAGCCUCUUUAUGGCCUACUAAGAACCCUCAAGUUCAAUAUGGGAAUAACUUUAAAUGCAUGCAAAAGAUGCUCAUUUUCACAACGGGAUUUAUGAUUCCAAGUCUCAACGGGAUGCCAAACAUAUGCGAGUACCACAUGUUAGUUCUCUACUACAUGGAGGUCCAAACUUUCAUUACACAUAACAUAGACAUAUUAAGCAUCCUAAAAUUCACAAUAAAUAUAUCUAACAUGAUUAUGCAUGCUUUUCCAAUUAACGAUGCUUAUUUCAUCACAAAUGAGAAUUUCUCAUUAUAUGGCUAGGUCAAACCCACCGAACCGUCGCGUAGGGCCUCGUUUCACCGAACGAAAUUGUCCACGAGUCUCAAAAUACCCUAAAAGUAUUCAGCGAAGAGAUACAAGGGCAUUACGACCAACCAUUAGGUCAAACAUCAACAAACAAGGCAAAAGGGCUAAAACUCACCUCAAGAGAGGAAAUCUCUUCCAAAGCUCAAAAAGAGAGCUAGAACCCUUCCAAUCCAAGCCCAAGGAAGGUUCUAAACCAACUAAUUUAGCCCCAAAAGCCCUAGAUCAAAAAGCCCCAAAAAUCAACCAUAAUACCCACUCUAGGGUUCCAAAUGGUAAAACCUACCAAAUCAAGGAUCAAAGGGUAGAAUCCAAGUACUAACCUCCCAAGAUGCCUCCAAGCAAGCUCCAAAUCUUCUAGGGUUGAAGAUUGGUCCUCCACCAAGUUCUACAAGCAAGCUCUAAGCCUUGCAAGGGUGGAAAGGAGAGAAAGGGGUUGAGCUCCAAGCUCCCUCAAGCAAGCUCCUCUUCUUCUUCUCCUCCUUCUUCUCCUCCUUCUCUCUAUAGAAGGUGUAGGAAGGGGGUGAGAAUGAGAAAAUGGGAGAGGGAAGAGGAGGAAAUGGCUAAUAAGCCCAUCUAGUGUAACAAAAUCCGGAGAGGCCCCUCAAAAAUUUAAAUUUACAUCAGCCCGAACUGGGCAGUUUUCGCCCAGAGGGACCGGUCUCUCCCCAGCAGGGGCCGGUCUCUCUCUGCGAACCCGAAAAACCAUCGUUCGGGAACCGGUCUCUCCCUGCGCGGGACCGGUCUCUCACUGCGAAGGCGCGCUCGGGGACCGGUCUCGCCUGCCAGGGACCGGUUGCCUCAAGGCUGCCGCAACACUGCUCACUGGGGGACCGGUCUCUCCUUUCAGGGACCGGUCACCGAGAGUAAAAACUCUCAGGCCUUGUCCAAAAUUCCAGUUUUCGAACUUUUUAGGUCGGAAAACAUUCUACAACCCUCCACCAAGUGUGGAAAAGCUCGAAAUACAUCCAAGCACUCGAACCUCGCAAUUUGCAGAGGUCUAGUGUAUUACAGAGAGCCCUAGACCCUUCAAUGCUCCAAAUCCACCUUCAAAUUCUCUCCUUCCACGUGAGGAAGAGCUCCUAGAGAGAGAGAGAGGGAGAAAAAUAGGUUGAGAAGGUGUUCUCACUGCUAUGAAUGAGAGAGGAGUUGGGGCAUAUUUAUAAGCUGCUACAAUUGCAACCAAGCUCUCCAUUUCUUUUUAUUUGCAGCAGACUCAACCUGCUGUUCGCAGCACUGAGAACCAGUACGCGGGUGGGUGUCACCGGUUAAGACCCUAUUCAACAGCCCAACCCAAGAACUACUGUUCUCGAAUUGCUGCGGGGUACCGGUACGCCAUGGUGCUUCACCGGUUAAGCAGCUUGACAAAGGCCAAACCCGAGAGCUGCUGUUCUCCGGUUGCUGCAGAGUACCGGUACUGCCCUGGUACUUUACUGGUUAAGCAAUGCCUAGACUGCAGUUUUGGCGCGCCGAGUAAUGCUAAAACCCUUCUAACGCAUUCAGAACUCAACUCUAACCCUUCCAACAUUGUUGGAAUGCCAAAUGGACUUUGUCCAACUAUUCCUCUCACACACUUUGGUCAAUUUGACUAAAGUUCGAUAUAUUCUACCGAAGUUUCGGUAUAUUACAUUCUGCACCCCUUAAAAUUAGUUUCGUCCGCGAAACUAACACAUACCUUAGCUCGUCGACUCAAAUAGGUGAGGAUACAUCUUUCGCAUUGUCUCCUCAAGCUCCCAAGUGGCUUCACGCACUGCAUGAUUGCUCCACUGGACUUUAACGUAGGGGAUUGUGCGACUCCACAACUUCCUUUCUUCUUGAUCGAGAAUACACAUCGGAUAUUCCUCAUAGGUCAUAUCCUCGCGCAACUCCACCGGUUCAUACUCUAGCACAUGAGUCGAAUUGCGGAUAUACUUGCGGAGAUUUGACACAUGAAACACAUUGUGAACUCCUGCAAACCUCAGUGGUAAUGCAAGCUUGUACGCCACCGCACCGACCCACUCCAAUAUUUCGAACGGUCCAACAUACCGAGGACUUAAGCAUUCCACGGACUCCAAACCGCUUUACUCCUCCGGCUUGCGCCGUGCCCAAUGGCCCCGUGGUAGUCAACAUUCCCAUCCUAGGAACGAGCCUCCCCCACGGCAUCCCAUUUCGGUGCCCAAUCCCGCACGGGCGAGCUUAUAUCGCGAUGGCUAUCUCCGGAGUGUCGGCUUACGGGGAGCGACCCUCACAAGCAUGUGCGAAUGAGCACAAUGGCAAGCAAGCGUAAUCAUCCGUCUCAAGACCAAGUCAUCAUGUCUCAAACAUGGUAUAUAGGCUAAUAUCCCAAUGGCCUUACACUAUGUCAUUAAAUACAAGUUUACUCAUUUGCUAAGUUGAAUGCCACUUCAUAACAUUUAAAGUCCACUAUGUCAAGCAUAAGUUCUAUGUCCAAGAGCAUGAUAUUCUUGCCAUUUUCACUAACUGAAAAAUGAUUCCAAACCAUAUAAAAGAAUGCUAUACACUUGCAUGCAUACUAUAUGCAAAUCUCUCUACUACAUAGAUCAAAGAAAAUAUACAUGAACUUCUAUUUUUAGAACAAAGAAAAUAACAUAGGGGGGAUUUCACCUAUUUCGGUGAGGUCAAACCCACCAAGAGCUCCUUGGAAUCCUUCGUUAGCGCAAAAGAAGGUGUCCAGCCUCCUAGCUCCCUAAAGAAAAUUCUACAAGGGUUAGACGCAACGAACGAAUACCCCAAAGAUCAAACAUUAACCAACCCAAGAAAAUGGUAAAACUCACAUUGUAUGUUGAAAACCUCUCUCAAUCUCCAAAUGAGAGUUAGAACCCUUCUAAUCCAACCAAAAUGAAGGUUCUACACCUAUCAAAUAAGCCCUAAAAGCCACAAAUCAAAAAUCCCCAAUUAAAACCCUAGAUUCUCAUUUCUAGAUUUUCAUCUCGAAAACUCUACCAAAACAAGAUCUAAAGAGUAGAUCUAAGAUACUAACCUCUCAAUAAGCUCCAAUCCAAGCUUGGAAUGAGCUAUGGUUGAAGAUUGAUCCUCUAGAAAGCUCCUCUCCUCAAUCCAAAGCUUCUCCAAUAGUGGAAAUCCAACAUGAAGCAAAGAGGAGGAAAAAAAAAGAGAUCAAACCAAGCAAAAAUCAAGAAAAAUGGGAGAAAAACCAAGGGCGAGGAGUUCUACUUGGUUCUCAGCCAUCCAAGGGGCUGUGAGGGGUUAAAUAGAGAUGUAACAAUCUCAAAAAAACCUUCCAAUAACGUGCAGUCAGCACUGCACUGCGUACCGGUACGCGGGGAAGAGUACCGGUACCACGCAGCAGCUUGCGCAAACCCGAGCCUGGGGUUGGCGAGAAAAUGCAUUGGGUACUAGUACCCGCCCGAUGCAGCACCGGUACCAGAUCCAGUUCCGGUACCAGGUCAAUGCAGUACCGGUACUCAGCCUAGCAGAGGCAAACUCGAGAGCAGCCCAAUAUCCUGCACUUUAGAGGUUUGGGACUAAGUUUUAAACCUUGCUCCUCGGGAUGCGAGCCAUAGGUCGGAACACAGUCUACGACCUUCCAGAAUAUCUGGAAAAACUCAAAACGCAGAUCAAACACUUGAACCUUAUAAUUUGCUAAAGUUCAAUGUGUUACAGCUUCUACCGCACUUGGUUCAAUGUACAUGUCGACAACUCGGGGAAAUCUACUAUCCCUAUGUUCAUCAUGUCAUAAGUGUUUCUACUACACUAAAUUCACAUGCCACUCGUCUAGGUCAUCAUAUAAUUUUAGAUGCCACUCGUUAUGUCAUUACCUAUACAUCAAGUUCAUCACUUGUUUUCGGCACUAUAGGAUUCAAUGUCAAUCCAAUCCUUACACAUCCACUAUAUUAUGUGUUCAACUCAAAAUGCAAUAUCAACUAUGGAAGCAUAUAAGGAAUGGAAAUGUAACUAUUAACAUCCUACAAUGCAUAAACAACAUGAAAGAUGCAUGGUCAACGAUGUAACAUCGACAUAGAAUGAAGCUCGAUUGCUUUGGAUAGCACCCCCCACCUCUAAAUAAUGCCGAGGUGCGAGAAUACGAAGCUCGAAAUUUUUAGACGUUGUUUCGGCCGUAUCCGGCGGAAACGAAGCAAAAACGGUCAUUUUCUUCAAUACCGUGCCACAUGCCCGUAGGAACUCCCGUUUGAGUUGCCCACAACGUCGAUUUUACCUUCAAUUAGGUUUACAAAAGGUAAAUUUAACCAUAAACCUCAUAUCUAUGAAAACCCCAAUUUCAACACUAGGGUUCCCCUAGCAUGAACAACAUGGGUUUUGCAUGAGAUUCCAAGGUCUCUCUUAGGUUUUCUUUCAUGUAAGAAGAUCAAAACCAAGUGUUCUAGGGUAUAAAUCCAAACCCAAACCAAGAUCUUACAAGAAACCUCACCUUAGCCUAUGAACACCACAAGCUCCACCUUGUAGGAGGGCUCUUCACCUUCAAAAGUCUUAAAUCUCCUUCAAAUCCUCCUUCAAUCUCCUCCAAUCCACCUUGGGAGAGAGUUCCUAGAGAGAGAGAGAGAAAUGAGAGAGGAGGAGUGUUCCCAGCUUAUGAACAAGAGAGGGGGAGAUGGGGUCCUCUUAUAUGUUCACACAAUUGCAAAUAAGCCCUCCAUUUUAUUUUAUUUGCAGCAGAUCAACCCUACUGUUCGUGGCGCUAGGUACUGGUACGCGGGCUCGCUUCACCGGUACACCGCUCAGCAGAAGCCAAAAAUUUUGUAUUGAACACGGUGAAUGGUUCACCGUGUUCAACUUAAACACCUGGGCCCGCCCUGCCCACGUGGCGCUGACGUGGCGCUGGCGUGGCAGGGGUAGGGCCAUUUUUGCAAAUAAUUUUUGGACGGGGCUAUUUUUACAAAUAAAAUUUGUCAGGGGGCUAUUUGCAAAAAAAGCCCUAUAUGUAUGUAUGUAUAUGUAUGUAUAUAUGUAUGUAUGUAUAUGUAUGUAUAUAUGUAUGUAUGUAUAUGUAUGUAUAUGUAGACCUGGCAAUCUCGACCCAAACCCGCGGAUACCCGCGGGUUACCCACAAAAUUGCGGGUAUGGGUACCAACUUUUCCUACCCAAAAAAUUAUGGGUAAAAUAGGUGGGUACCCAUUAAGUUGUGGGCAUUCUGGGUAACCCGCGGGUACCUACGGGUACCCGCAUGUAUAUUUUUAAUUAAAAAAAAUAUAUUUUUUGUUUACCCAUCCUAAAAACCCUAAACCUAAUUUCCUUUCGUUUAUCUUU